RNAcentral lists this long non-coding RNA (78376 nucleotides) under Gossypium barbadense (sea-island cotton). RNAcentral describes it as "long non-coding RNA (GBAR_LNC003474)". Lineage: Eukaryota; Viridiplantae; Streptophyta; Magnoliopsida; Malvales; Malvaceae. The record is from RNAcentral.
GAAUCUUAGGAACUUUAGGUAAUUCUGGCUUUGGUAACUCUGGAACAUUGACUUUUGUGGGUUUUUGCAACUCAGACAACUUUGGCAACUCAGAAAAUUUAAGAAAUUCAAGCUUCGGUAACCCCGAAACUUUGGGUAAUUCAGGCUUUGACAACUUAAGCAUUUUAGGUAUUUCAGGUUUCGGGAUUUCUGGCUACUCAGGCUUUAGGAGUUCAAUCUUUGGGAAGGAUGAUAUCUUAGGCAACUCUUGUUAGAGUAACGUAUAAAGGUGGUUAGUCUGUUAAGUUUGUUAGUAGCAGUUAAUGUGUUAGUUAAUACAUGAAAGUGUUAGACUCAGCUAUAUAAACAUAUGCACACUAUCCCUAUCAAAUGAAAUUGAAUAAUAAAAAUAGUUUUCUUGAAAUGUCAUCUUUGUAUAGUUUAACAACUUUGAUCUAGGAAUCUUUGAUAUAGAUGUCUCUAAAAGACGUCAGGCACCAACCAAAACCGUGUUGCUGCUCAUCAACGACAAAGUGAUGAAUAAAAAUAGAAGAACAAAGAAAAGAAAAUGAGGGUGAGCCAUGGUUAAGAAAAUCAGAUACGAGAUAACAACGAGUUCUUCAAAAUGAACACUUGGAAGUGUGCUUGUUUAUGCAAUUUGCUAAUGGCCCUUUCAUAGGUAUUGGGAAGUGAAGAACACAAAAUUUGAAGGUGUUUGGUGAGAAACUCUAAAUUUUGUUAGCUCAACUUCUCGCCUAUUCUUUAUUGAAAAUUAUUACAUAUGAUAUGUAUGAUGACACGUACUACCAAUAUAAAUAAUUAAUUAUAAAGUAAAUUUAUUAAUUGAACAAUCAAUUAACAUGCUCAUAUUAUCAAAGCAACAAAUGUUAUAGCAAUUUUAGUAUAGUCCUUGUUCAAAUAUUAUAGCAAAAUAUUUUACUGAGGUUAACGGGCAAAAUAAAGAAAUGAAAUUGCAACAAAUGUUUUCAAAAUAAAGAAUUUGAGUUCAUACUUGGUGGGAAAGGUUGAAGUUUUGAAUAUUGAAAGUUCGGAUUUGAGUUUUACCAUCUACAAUUAUAGUGUAUGGUUUUUUUUUCUCAUUUUGUGUGUAAGUUUUGUCCGAUUCUUUCUAGAUUAGUCUGACAUUUAUCUAGUUCUUUGUCGACGGUGGAUUAAAUUAGUUGAAUUCUUCAUUGUAAUCGAUUCACCAUAUAUAUAUGUAUACUUGUGUUACACUUUUAAUUUGUAUUUGUCAUGUAUUUGUAAUUGUAUUAUCUUUAUAGUAAUGAUUUUUAAAAAAAAAUAGGGUUAAGCAAAAACUAUUCAAAAUAUUUUAAUUCAUAUUUUCACUAGAAUAGGAUUGAAAGGGAAACUUUAGAAUACAUAAAUUUUUUAGGAAAAAUUUAUUAGCUUGAAAAGAUCAACUCGAGAUUGCCGAUAGAGAAGUUGAAUUGGCCUUUGAGAUGUUGUGGUGAAAGUAAUAAGAAUUGUGCAACAAAGAACACAAUGAUUUAUAAUGUUCAGCCCCAAUUGUCUACUCCACUACUUUAGUUUACCACAAUUAAAGAUUUUCCCAAAUUCAUUACUUUGGUAACCUUUGAGGACAAGGUUUAACCUUACAAUUCUCUUAAGAUUGAUGCCCCAAGAUCUUAAGAUUGCACUCCUUUAAGGUUUCUACCUAAACCUUAAGAAUUAACCCUCUUUCAAAAAGAACAAAUAAGCAAACUAAGAAGUAAUUCUUACAAGAUUAGAAUAUUUGUCAAUUAAGCACUAAUUAAAAAAAACGCUUGAGCUAAAUGAAUACAAUGAAAGCUUAUAAAUAUUUACAAGAAAAAGUAUGAAAGAAUUAAACUCUUAGGUUAUUUUGAUUGAUCUUUAAGCUUUUCACAUGUCUCUUAUUUUGUAGGAGCUUUCAUUGUUAAAAUCCAAAGAGCAUUCUCAAGCUUUUCAAAGCUUUCAGCCACAAAUUGAUAGGUGAAUUCAAUCCAUUUUCUUGUAUUUUGUUUAUAGAUUUGAGGUCAUGGGAGCUUGAUUUAGUUUGCCCAUGUACUAAUUUGUAAGACUGCUAAAAUUUUGAAAAUUACCAUUGUUGAUAAUUAGUUUAAAUUGGUGUGAAUUUGUUAGAAAUUAAGCUUAGAUUAAGAAAAUGACUAAAUUCUAAAUUUACUUACGAUACUUAGUUGACAUUCAUAAAAAGUAUCUAAUGAAUUAUGAGUUCAAUACAUCCUGUUUAGCAGAAAGGCGGAUAUUCCUUGCUCAUUAUCAGACAAUCACUUAUUCACAAACUUCGUGUGGGGCUAAUAGUUUUCAUUUCCCGUCUCGUGGAAAACCCUUUUUGCUCCGCUUAGCCCUAUCUCCCUUUAGGGGUAUUUUAGUGAUAGGUUCUAUAGGAACCGGACGAUCUUAUUUGUUCAAAUACCUAGUGACAAACUCCUAUGUUCCUUUCAUUGGCCUACGAAAAGAUCGCUUGGAUUUAAGAAAGAGUCGCUUGGAUUUAUCCAUGAUUUCUUUAUUCCUUAUUUCUAAUAUUUCUAAAAAGAAUCCUAUCCCUAUCUCUAUUUCUAAAAUCCUAUUUUGAAAAUUCAAAUUAUAGAAUUAAUAUAAUAAAUAGGAUUUGGUUUGUUUAUUUUAUUAUUAUUUAUCAUUUCGAUGAGAUUGAUAUUUAAAUAUUUCUUCUUAGAACGUAUUGAUUUGACCCCAUAAGCGGGACCACCACCCCAUAGCAUGUUGCUGCCAAAAGCAGAACCCCGUAUUUCUUCUAGAGACUCUAGAUCCCAAUAUACCCAAUGCCAGAUAGCUGCCAAGAAGCACAAGCCAGAAAACACAAUAUGUGCUCCGGCCACACCUUCGUAACUCCAAAUACCCGGAUUUGUUAUAGUCCCCCCUGUAAUACUCCAACCACCCCAUAGAAUGAAAAAUGGGCAAUCCUGAGCCAAAUCCUAUUAUUUUAUUAUUUUACGAAAAUAAACAUGAACAAAGGUUCAGCAAGCGAGAAUAAGAAAAAAAGGAAAGGAUAGGUGCAGAGACUCAAUGGAAGCUAUUCUAACAAAUGGGGUUGACUGUUGGUAAAGGAAUCCUUAUAGGUCGGAACAAGUUGAUAGGAUCCCCUUUUACACCCCCGGGUCCCUCCUAUGUGGCGACAUGGGGGCGUAAAAAGGAAAGAGAGGGAUGGGGUUUCUCUCGCUUUUGGCAUAGCGGGCCCCCAGCGGGAGGCCCGCACGACGGGCUAUUAGCUUAGUGGUAGAGCGCGCCCCUGAUAAUUGCGUCGUUGUACCUGGGCUGUGAGGGCUCUCAGCCACAUGGAUAGUUCAAAGCUUAAUUGUUAGUUUCAUACAUUAGGGACCAAAUUGAAUAAAAUGCGAAACCAUCAUGAAAUGUUGGUAAGGGGUAGAAAAUAGAAUCUGAUAUAGAUAUAAUUAUUUAAUGAACUCGAAUUAUGAGAGCAAAAACCAGAGUAUCUGUUCGUCGAUGACUUUGGAUUUCCCUUUAUUUUGAGAUGGUCUUGCGUCAUCUUUAGCUACAAAAUUAAAUCUGAUAUAGAAAAUUCAUUAUUCAAAUAACUCAAACACAUGUCAACUCAUUAUAUACAUGGAUGCAUUUUAUUCAAUUUAAUUCCUUCUAACGCUAAUAUCCGAAAUGACCAUAACUUUCGGUCUCCUUUAUCGAAUUAAAAAUCGAUUUCACAUUUCUUCAUAAGGGACCUCUAGUUUCCACUCCAUGAUGUAACAUCCCGAAAUAGGGCUUAAACGGAAUAGUGAUUGUGAAACCACAAAUCCGAGGUAGAAAAAUUUAUUUUAUUAUUAUUUUGAGGUUCAUGGUAUGAUUGCAUGAUUGUGUGAAAAUUUCGUGAUGAAAUUCUAUGCAUAAAGUGCUUAAGUUGAGGUUAGGGACUAAAUCGAAUAAUUUGCAAAACUUGCAUUCUAGAAGUUUUUGGUAUGAAAUUACUUUGGAAUAUUAACUAGGAGGGUUUAAAUAACAAUUUGACCAAUUUUAAGUUCAUGGACAAAAAUUAGGACAUGGAAGGAAUUUUUGAAAGUUUAGUAAGGAGGGGUAAUUUGGUCAUUUGGAUAUUAAAUGAAUUAAAAAGGGGAAAAAUAACACAAAAAUGGUCAUCUUCUCAAUUAGUUUCUGCCGAUUUUUGCUCUCCUCCAUAGCUGGGGUUUCUUCAACUUUCAAGCUUCAUAGUAAGUGAUUCCAAGCCCCGUUUUUAAUGAUCUUUACGUUUUUGGAGUCCCGGUAACUUGAUUAAGCUUAUUCUAGCAAUAAUUCAACCUAGGGUUCAUAUUUGGAAAAAUACCCAUGGCUGAAAUUUGUGUAUUUUGGUGUUUUAUGAUAGAAUAUGAGGUUUUAAAUUAUGUUAAACAACUUAUGCUACUCGGUUUUAAGUGAAAACGAGUAAAAGGGCUUAAAUUGGAAAAAAAUACCAAUAGUCAUAAGUAUAUGUUAGAGUGUGAUUUUGAUAUUGCCAUAGAAGGGAAAAAUGAUCAGCAUGUCAUAAAACAUAAGAAAAUAGGAUGAAGUUUAAUUUACGAGCCUUGGGGAAAAAGUGCAAAUAUGUGAAAGUUUAGGGGUAAAAAUAUAAUUUUGCAAAAGUUUGGGUCAAGGACUGUUUUAAUAAAUGUGAAUAUUAAAUAAGUUAAAUUUGCUAUUAUAGAUCAAGAAGAACGAAAUUCGAGAGUAGAUCGGGGAAAAGAAAAAGUAAAGGACUAAAUUGUAAAGUUUAGUCACAUUUUGUAUCAAGGUAAGUUACAGUAAAUAAAUGCCAUAUUCUUUUAUUUUACAUUAUUAUUGUCAAUUUCCAGCAUUUAUAUAUUUAUGUUAUGAAAAUAUUUAAAGUCGAAUUUAAGGCGAAGUGACAGAGGAAAAGUGUUAGAAAGCCCCGGUUGAACCCUAGGAAUGUUAGGAUAUUAGGGUUGACAGGACAGAACAGAAAUGAGCCAUGUAAGUCCAUAUUAGAAAUAUGGCUUUGGAGACAGGAUUGAGCCAUGUAAGUCCAUAUUAUAUAUGGCAUUGGCAGGAUAUUGAUAGACAGGAACGACCCUAGUGUCCUUAGUAUUCCGAGUGGUUCAACGGGUCAGGAUACGAGUUAAAUUACAGUGAAUUAACAGCAAAGGAAAAGUAGAUUAUACUUAUGAAAAAGGAAAAGUCAGGUAAAAAAGAAAGUAAGGGAAUAAAGAAGAAGAUAGAAAUUGAGAAGUAAAGAAAUUUAUGAUGUUAGAUGAUAUUAUGCAUAAUUAUCCAUUAUGUUGAAUGUUGUGAUUUAUUUUCUUGUAAGCUUACUAAGCCUAGUGCUUAAUCUCUUUAUUUUCUUCUUCUUAUAGUACUUAUCUAGUCACUCGGGGAUCAAAGGAAACGUCGGAGGCCGAUCACACUAUCAAAGAAAUAACUCGGUAUAACUAGACGUUUUGUUUUGGGUAUGGCAUGUAUAGAAACUUAGCUACUUUUGGUAUAAUAUGAACAAUGAAUGAUGUGUAAAUACUUGCUAGUGAUUAACUAAUAAAAUAGCCGAUGAUAUACAUGUUUAUUAAUAUGUAUGAUUGAAUGAUGAUUAUCACAUGAAAAUUAUGAAAAAUGUGAAAGUAACCUAAAAACAGAUUCAAGUAACAGAAAUGACGUAACUUUGAAAAAUCACUAAAAAUUGUAGAAACAUAGUUUAAAGAUGAAUAAUAUAUGAAAUUAAAAUCUUAUUAUGUAUAUUUUCUUAUGGAAUAAGAAAAACAGGUAAAGGUAUUAUAUUUUAUGAGAUAUCUGAGUUUUAGUGAAACAGGGUCAGAGCGAUUUCUGGAUCCCCUGUUUCAACUUUGGAAAUUAACCAUAAAUAGUAAAAAACUAAUUAGAAGGUUUAAUUUAUAUUUUCAGAAUCCUUGUUGAAUCUAGUUUUGGGAGAAACAAACGGCUUAGUCAUAUGAAUUUUUUACAGGAAGAAAAAUGGUUCGUAGUAAGAAGAGGUCAGUGCAGUCGAGUUUUGAAACAGGGGAAACUUUAACUAAUAAACUAUACUAAUUGGUCAAGUCAAAAAUUCUAGAAAAAAAUUAGUAGAUAUAUAUACGAAUCUAGUUUCAGGAAAAAUUUACGGAUCUUAAUUUUGAGCUUUGAAACUUGAGAAAUAUAUUUUUAAGGAACCAUGACGCAGAAAAACAGUUUAUUUCAAAAAUUAAAAUAAGUGGUUUAGAGUUGUUUAAAAGGUAAGAUAAGUUUAGUAACACCUCAAGCUUGACUCCGGUGACGGUUUCGGGCGUGGGGGUGUUACACAUGACAUGUUUUUCUAACAACUUAUAAUUUAUUCAUUUUGGUCCUUAAUACUCAACAAUGAUUUCAAAGCUUUUAAGCUUAAACUCAACUUGAAUCAACAAUCUUUAUCACAAUUUUAACUUAUUCUUAUUAUGAUUUUAUCUAGUUUCAAGCAUGCAUGUAUUGGAUUCUUACCAUAUAAUUUCUCAAGCUCUUUAAAAAUGGAAAAAAAAUGAACUUAAACUUACUAAAUCACAAUUAAUUAAUGGGUCCUUACUCUCUAUCAUCUACUAAUAAAAAUUCAACCUAAAAUUUAAGAGAGAACUCACCUAUUUUCCUUGGCAGUACACGACAAUGGUGAAAGGUUUGAGAAAGUUUCUCCUAUUUCUUUCUUCUUGGUUGUAUGAAAGAGAUGAGAUGAGCACUCCUUCUCAUUCUUUAUUUUCUUUUAUUCUUUUAUUUAUCACAAUCCUUAAUUAUCUAAAUCAAUGGCCAUGAUUUAUUCAUUAAUGUAUUAGUGCUAAUCAAUGGCUAGAAACAUGGCUAUCCACUUUACUUUGUAAUGUAAAUUUUUAGUUACACUUCAACUCGACUCACUAAAAUUAAUAAGAAUUAAAGUCACAUGUAAUGAAUUUUUUGUGGUUAAAUUUUACUAUUAGUAUAUGUAUUAUGCGUAAGUUGCGGACUUAGUCUUUAUAUUUUCAUUUAGUCAAUUUUAGUCCAUAUACUUUUAGAAAUUUAAAAUUUUAGUCUUGACCAAAUGAAAGCUAUAAAAUUCAUGAAGUUAAGUUAUGCUAUUUUCAAAAUUUAAUGCGAAAAUAUAUUAUCACAUGUGUAAUGCCAUGUCAAUUUGUUCUUUUCACAUAUUACUCACAAAGAAACCAACUAAUAGAUUUAAUGAUUGACAUUUGCAUUGAGACUAAAAUUUCGAAAUCCGAAAAAUAUAAUGGCUAAGAAUGAUCCAGUUGGAGAAUAUGGAGUAAAUCUACAACUUUAUGCAUAAUACAUUACUAAUACUAGAAUUUAACCCAAAAAAAAGUUAGCUACUAUUGUACGGUCAAGACUAAAAUUUCAAAAUUUGAAAAAUAUAAGUGUACACACAAAUUUUGCCCAGGCCCAUUUUAACCUAAACCUACCCCAACCCAAACAAAGGCUAAACCUACCCAAUAGCCCAAAACUAAACAGACCCUAACCUCAGCCCACUACCUAAACAAAUUGUGGCAGAAAUAAAAAAACCCGUAGCCCCUCUAGCCGCCGUUUCUGUCCCAUCGCCCAUGCCAGUCGGCAACCUGCUCCAUCGUCUUGUCUCCCACUUGCACCUGCAAAUUAAACAGAGAAUAGGCAAGUAUUAAUAAAAAAAAGAGUUGUAAAUUGGCUUUAAAAAGGCCAAGCCAAAUCCAUUUGUAAGUUUGGCAAUUUGAAAAAUAAAAAAGCAUUGAUUUUAACACACAAAGAGUAAAACAGUGACUCUAGAAACGACAAAACCACGAGAAUAACCCCAAAUCAAAGGAUCCAAAGACCAAAAGACAGAAUCAAAUGUCUAUUUAUUUUAUUUUUAUUUUUUUUUCCUUCUUUUUCGAACUUGUUUGUAUAUACCAAACCCUAUUCUAUUAAAAACAAUAUAUAUUAGAUAUAAAUAUAGCAAAAGAAAACAACAAAUUUUUUUACCUUUUGGCGAUUUUCGGCCACCGUACAUGGUGGCCAGCACGGCGGGGCCACGGUGGGGGGUGACCGGAUCCUUUGGCCGGUUCUAAGUUUUCCCCAGAGAGAAAAACUCCCUCCUCCCCUCUUUUUUUUAAACUCGAAAGAAAUGAAUUUUUUUUAAAAUUUUUUGACUUUUAUAACCCCAUGGUAUGACGUCGUUUUGGGGCAAACAUUCAACACCCAAAACGGCGUCGUUUAGUGACCCAGACCAGAGACCAGACCUUAACCCGCCUGGAUCCGCGUGUUUUUGGGCUAGGGGUCUAUUUGCGCUCCCAGUCCUUCCGCUUUUGAGGCCGGUUUCAAUGUGGUCCCGUUUCCUUUUUAUCUCUUUUUAAUUUACCCUAAAAUUUCUUCAUUGUUUUAUUUUGAUCCUUGGUCGAACGACGCGUUUUGGGGGGACGGGUUUAUUACCCAUCUGGUCCUCCCUUGUUGUUCGCGUAUUCGAAUGGGUCAUUUUCUUUUAUUUUUAGUUUCGAUUUGCCCCGAACUUCUAUUUUAAGUUCAAAUUGGUCCCUUUUCAUCCUUUUUUAUUAUUUUAUUAACUAAUUUAAUAUUAUUGUUACUAUAACCAUAUCUUAUUUUUAUGCUUAUUGUUUGCUAUUAUUAUUGUUAUUACGUUCGUUCUCUUAUUAUUUUUGUUGCUAUUUCUCUUGUGAAUUUGUAUUAUUAUUUAUAUCAUUGUUAGUAUUAUUAUUAUUCCUUAGUUUAUUAUUAUUAUUUUAUCAUCAUUUUCCAUUAUUGUUAUUACUAAUAUACUAUUAUUAUUCCUAUUAAUGUAUUGUUAUUAUUCUCUACUUUAUUAUUAUUAUAUUAUUAUUACUGCUAUCAUCAUAUUAUUAAGCUAGUUAAUUUUAUAUUGAUUCUGUCAUAUUAUAUAUAUAUUGUUCUUUUUGUAUUUAUCUAUAUUAUUGUUAUUAAUCAUUGUAAUUACUUUUGAACAUAUCAUGUAUUUUAAAUUAUUAUCAAUUUAAAAUAUUUUAUAUAUAGCAUUUCUUUUAAACUAUCAUAUGUAGUAUUUAUUUUGAAACUUUUAUAUGCAUCUUUGUAUUUCAAAUUAAUAUAUAUACAUACAUAUUGUUUUUUUUUCUAAAAAAGGAAUUUAAUAUAUAGUUGUAUCGUUUUAUAUGACAAAUGUGUUAAAUUCCUUUUAUUAUUUAAUAUAAACCUUUCUACUACUAUUAAUUUUAAAAGUUCACAUGUUAUUUAUGUUAAACUGUUGUACAUAUCUUCAUUCUAAACUUUCAUACACAAUUUUAAUUUUUUUUUGAAUUAUUAUUUUGAGUUAUUCUAUUUAUAUAUAUUUUUUUUAUCUUGUAUACUAAUGAUUUUAAAUUAACUAAUAUCAUUUACUUUAAAUCAUUUUCCAUAGUGUCUAUGUCAAGCUUGUAUUACCUAUAUGUUAUUCGUCUAGAACCGUGCCAUUGUUUAUUUUUUAAUUGUUCAUAUUAUUCAUUUCAUUUCUCUUUAAUUAUUAAUAUAUAAAUAAUGUAUAUUGAGUGAUUAUUGUCAUUGUGUGUACUAUAAUUCGUUUGUUCGUAUUCUCAUAUUAUUAUCACCCAUUUGCAUAGUAUUUUAUCCAUGUUUAUUGUUCCAUGUUUAUUCGUCUUUCAUUCGUAAUUAUCGCAUUGUAAUCUUCGACUUAUUGAUCCGAAAUUCAUGAUUCCAUUUUAAUUCAAGUCAAAGUUAGUGCGUUUUAAGCCGGUUUUACAAUUAUUCGUUUGAAAAUUCCUUAAAACGAAGGCAACAUUUGAUACUUGGGAAUUCGAGGAAUCGUGCCCUAUCGUGCUGGGUUUCGAUUUCCCGUUUGUUCCAAAUAAUUGAAUGUUCCUUUAGUAUUUUACUCGUGUUUUAUAAAUUCUAAAGCAAGGCAAUGUUCAAUGUUUAGAUGUUCGAGGAAUCGUGCCCUACCGUGCUGGGUUUGGUUUUUCGUUGAACUAAAUAAUUGGGGUAUUCUUUUGUGAUUUGCAACAUAUAAAUUUUUGGAAGUCAAAAGUUUAUCAUGUUUUCGAGAACAUAGAGGAUCGUGUCCUAUCGUGCUGGACGUGAUGCUGUAUACCCUUGAAACGAAAAAGUUUUGGCGACCAACUUAAACCAUUCAAACAUUUUAAAAGAAGCCAUAUUUCAAUUUAUUUUUUAAAAUUUUAGACAUAAGGGCAAUAUUUAAUCAAUUCGGUACCAAUUUUGGGCGUACUGAGGGUGCUAACCUUUCCUUAUGCGUAACCGACUCCCGAACUCGUUUUCUGAUUUUUCGUAGACCAAAAAUUAUCAUAUUAGUAAAUCUUAGUUUUUAUUAAAACGAUUAAUUUGAGGUGACCCGAUCACACCUCAUCAAAAAGGAUUGGUGGCGAUUCCCGCAAUUUUCGUUUUCUUUUCAAAAUAGAAAGUCGAUCCCCGUUUUUCAAAAAAAUAGUUUCGACAGCUUGGCGACUCUACUAGGGACCAAUAAGAGAGUCAAGCCAUAAAAUUGAUUAUUUGUUGUCCUUUUAUCAAUGAAUUGAAAAUUUGUUUUGAAAAUCAUGAUUUCUUCAAUUGCAUUCGAUUGUAUGAUUGUUAUGAUUCAGGUCUUGUAGGAUAAUAUUGCAUUGCAUUGUAUUGCAUGACCGCUGUGGUCACACCUUCUAAGUGGGAGUAAAAAACUAUGCUUUCGUGAGGUUUUCACCUCCGCAUGGGCUAGUGGAUUGCUUCCGGGAUACAUCCGUACCUAUGAUUUCAUGAGAUUUUCAUCUCCACAUGGUCAUAGGGAAAUGUAUUCCCCUAAACCAAACUCGAUCCAUAUGAGCCUAUAAUGGGUGAGGAUCGAGGAAUCUGCUGGUUCGGGUACCCUUACUCUAGAACCAAAUGACAUAUAGGGAACCCUAAGAGCCUUCUUUAGGUGGAGCUAGGUUAAAAUGUAGUAAUUGCCCAUAUAUAUGCUUUGACUAUCUUUAUUUUGCUUGUAUUUUAUUAUUAACACUUGAUACUGACUUGUCUUGUUUUGAUUGUAUUUUGCAUAACAUUGCAUACUAAAGAAGGUGUUGAUUCGUAUUCGAUUACUAAGUUAGAAAGUUUAAUAUGGAGAAUGAAUUUAUUAAUAAAGUAGAAGAUAAUGUGGCCGUCCGCGAAUGGUCAGAGAAGUUACAAUUGGAGAAAGGGGAUAGCUUGACAGAAGGAUAUACAUCAGAGUUGUAGGAAUUCACUCGCGUCAAUGUAGCACAGAAUGAAUUGCAAGAAUUGAGAGAUAUUUGGGCUCGUUGGGAUGAAGGAACCAAACAGUUGUUCUAUCAAAGCUAACAACUGUUUGGUGAUAUAUCUUACUUGCUAGAUAUUAAGGUGAACAAGCACCUGUUCUGAGUUAUGGUUCAAUUUUGGAAUUCUGCUUACAAGUGUUUCAUUUUUGGGGAAGUGGAUUUAGUGCCUACCGUGGAGGAAUAUACUACCCUGCUCAGGUGUCCAAAAGUGCAAGUUAGAAAAGCUUAUGCCAAGGUUUUUAAUGGUCAAACCUUCACAAAGAAAUUGAUGAAUAUUUCAGGGAUGAGCGAGCCUUGGGUCACUGCUCGGAUUCAACAAAAGGGAGAUAGUAAAUGUAUCCCUUGGGAAAAUUUGAGAGAUUUGGUUUUAACACAUCCGGAUGAAGGAAAGAGGGUCGAUAUCUUCGCCUUAAGCAUCUAUGGAUUGGUAAUUUUUCCUAAGGCUUUAAGGCACGUGGAUGAGGCACUCACUGACUUAUUCGAUCGUCUUGAGAAGGGAAUCACACCUGUACCUGUGAUAUUAGUUGAGACAUUCAGAUACUUGAGCAUGUGUCAAAAAUCAGGUGAUGGGCGAUUUGUUGGAUGUGCGCAGCUGUUGAUGGUGUGGUUUCAUGGGCACUUUUGAAAGGUGGAAAAGGUCUCUUAUCGGGUCUUUUCUGAAGCUUAUUCCCCGUUAAAAGAGGAGGCAGCCAUACAAAGGAGAGAGGAUAUCUUAGAGGAGAAAUGGAUGGAAAUUCUUUAAAACCUCAAUGAGGGGAAUAUAGAGCGGAGAGCAUUUUGGAUGGUUCCCGAUGAGAUCUUGUAUCGAUGUGGGAACUUUGAUUGGGUGUCGUUGUUAAGAAUUUGGGGAGCUACCGGGUAUACUCCAUUGCUUACAUUAAGGCAAUACAAAUCGAGACAGUUUGUACCCAUGACUUACGGGCUCGCUCAGUGUGAAUUCUUCUAUAAAGGUGACCACUAUAAGAAGAAAGUUUAGGAACUAUCGGAUGCUUGAAAGUAAACUCGCUGGAUGAAGGGGUUGACUAUUGGUUCCAUGGUGACACCUGAAUAUAAUGGAUGGUUUAGAAAAAGAGUCAAUGACAAUAUUCCUAGACCAAGUGUAGAAAGCACUAGACUAAUGGAGGAACAAUUACAAGUCGCCCCGUCAAAGUUGGAAAUUAUAAAGCAAGACUUCGAGAAGAAGAGUUCUGAGCUUAAGAAAAAGAUUGAACAAUUGGAGGAAGAAAAGAUGCAUCUGAGGUUAGACAUUGAGGUUUAGAGGUCAGAAGCUAAAAAGUUAAGAAAAGGGAAAAGUAAGGCUAAAGAAGAUCUGGACAGUUUGAAGACAGAUUAUAAGAAGUUACGCAUGUCUAUGAGGACUGUUGGGUUAGGUAAAACAUCAAAAUAAUGGCGUCAAUAAAUUCGAGAGGAAAAGACCAAAGCCGACCGAUGGGAAAGGAAAUUCUGAGAAGCUAAUGCACGAAAUAAAGAUUUAGAGAAGAGUCUGUCAAAAAGUAGAAAUGAACGAAAUGAACUAAGGGCUAGAGUGGCGAAACUCGAAAAAUCUCUUUAUCUGUACCGAAGCCGUAAUACCGCAAUGGAACUGAGAGCAAGCCUGGAUAUGGUAGAAGAAAUGAAAGGAAAAAUCAAAGAAUUAGAAGCGUCAUUACAAUGCGGAUUGAGUUUUUCGAAGCAAGUGAGGAGCGUUGGAAGGAACAGCUUCAACAUUCGUAAGACCAAAUCAGAAAUAGGGAUUACAUUAUGGGAGAAGCCAUAACCCAGAUUUGGGAGGUAGCUGAUUACUUGCAAGCUUUGGCAGUACAAGCAGACAUACUGGGCGUGAAAUACGAGUUGGAGUCAGAUUGGGGGCAGAAGCUAGCCUCAUUGUUUAGGAAAAUUAAGGCUCUGGGCAUUAGGGAGAAGUCUUAUUAGUAACUCAGUUUUAUGUAAAGACUUUUAUUUUCUAGUAAAGUUUUCUAAAUGGAAUUGAAUCAAAAUUGAUGCCUCCUUUGCAUUCAUGCAUUUGCAUUACAUUACUUCAUAUGCAUUAAAGGCCAUAAAAAUAUUCUAAUUAAUUAAAAAUGUUUCAGUAAUCUGGGAACUGACGAAAAUCUUUCAAGUGCACAUCCCUACAGUACAAGAAGGAAAACUAAAACAAUGGAUAAAAAAUUAGAAAGACUGGAACAAAUGCAGAAAGAGAUGCAGGAACAGAUACAAGCACAAGUGCAAGAACAGUUAGCUAAAACCCAGCAGGAAAUGAGGGACCAAAUGCUGGAAUCACAAAGAAAUAUGAUGGAAGAGCUAACCCGAUUACUGACUAGUAAGACGGACAAAGGAAAGGGCCCUAUAACCAAUAUUGGAAAUAACAAUGAAGAUUCUCUUUACCCCUUUGGUUUUGCCCUGGAAAAUGCUCAAAUGCAACAUGAGAUACACACAGAGGCCAUCCAUUACUGAGGAUCCUCUCUACCCCUUGGUUUCACCUCGAUGAAUGCUCAAAAGCAACCCGAGCUGCACAUGCGAAGGCCGUCCUUACAAUCAGGCCCCAACAAUUCCAGGCCGAUACCUCGAUGCCGAUGAACUAUCAAGCUGGCUCAGGCUCUAAUCUGGUGGAUAACCCGACUAACCCCGUUGUCCCCGAUCUUAAUUAUGUAAUAGAAGCGGAAAAGACAAGGGUAGAACUUCUGAAAGAACUUGAAGAAUGGUGUAGAUGGUUGGAAUAAAAAUUUAAAGAAAUAGAAAACGCUGACUAUCGUGGUGGAAUCGAUGCUAAGGAAUUAAGCUUGGUUCCAGACUUGGUGCUUCCCUCCAAGUUCAAAACUCUGGAGUUUGAAAAAUAUAACGGGACUAGUUGUCCCAAAGCUCACAUCACCAUGUUCUGUAGACGAAUGGCACGCUAUGUCAAUAAUGACCAACUAAUGAUUCACUGUUUCCAAGAAAGUCUAGUCGGGGCAGCAUCUAAAUGGUGCAACCAACUGAGUCGUACCUAGAUCAAUUCGUAGAGGGAUCUAGCAUAGGCUUUCAUGAAGCAGUACAGUUACGUGACAGAUAUAGCCCCUGAUAGAAUCACGUUACAAAACAUGGAGAAGAAACAAAAUGAGAGCUUUAGGCAGUACGCCCAAAGAUGGAGAGAGAUGGCGAUGCAAGUCCAACCACCUCUUCUAGAGAAAGAAACGACCAUGCUCUUUAUCAAUACGUUGAAGACUCCAUUCAUCAACUUAGGGAGCGCUACUAAAAGUUUCUCAGACAUAGUAAUGUCUGGAGAGAUGAUAGAAAAUGUGAUAAGAUGUGGGAAGAUUGAAGCAGGGGGAAGUGUUAAGAAAUCAUGUAACGCCCCUAACCCGUAUCCGCUGCCAGAAUAGGUUUUCGGAGCAUUACUACCACUUGAAAAUCAUUAAAAAAAAUUCACUUAAAUACUUAUCAAUUCAAUGCAUCAAUAAAUAUAUUACCAUUCAAUCAAUGGCUUGGCACUUGCCUAAGCAUUAACAACAACACUUGUUAGUGUACUUACACAUAUUUCAUAUAAAUUCUUAUUUUCUCAAUAUGUCAUAUUUGAAUUUAAUACUCGUCUUAACUUACAUAUUUUCCUUAUGUUAACAUAUAAAAGAUAAUCUCAUAUGUACAUGUCAUGAUACAUAUCAUUCUCUUACCGUUUCUUUAAUAACAUAUAUAAUUCAUUUCAUUAUAUCAACAUUUCAUGCACCAUCAUUUCCUUAUAUCUUAGGUAUAUUUAUUUCGGUAAUGGUUCGUAUUAAACUUAACAUAAUUCAAAUUCAUGUACCUAUACUUAUUUCAUUUAUCUAUCUUAUAAAUUAUUUCAUACAACUAUUUUGUACAUUUAUUUCCAUAUGACCAAUUCCUGUAAACAUUUCACAUUACCAUUUUGUAUAACCAAUUCAUUUAACCAUUUGUUAUAUUACCUGAAUAUUAGUUGUUCAACAGAUAUCUUGGCGUUUCUCUUCCACGAUCUUAUUUAUCUUCGACAUGAUGCCAUAGUGUCUUUCAACUAUGGUCUUUCUCAUUUUCUGUCAUGUUUCCAUGGUAUCUUUCAACCAUGGUCUUAUUCAUUUCCCCGUCACGUUGCCAUGGUAUCUUUCAACCAUGGUCUUACACAUUUCAUGUCAAGUUGCCAUGGUAUCUUUCAACCAUGGUCUUACACAUUUCAUAUCAGGUUGCCAUGGUAUCUUUCAACCAUGGUCUUACACGUUUCAUAUCAGGUUGCCAUGGUAUCUUUCAACUACGGUCUUACACAUUUCAUAUCAGGUUGCCAUGGUAUCUUUCAACCAUGGUCUUACACGUUUCAUAUCAAGUUGUCAUGGUAUCUUUCAACCAUGGUCUUACACAUUUUCUAUCAGAGAGCACACUCCCGCGAACCUCAUUCUUACAGUGGGAUUACCAGUGCAGGCUAAAUCCCCUGUAAUAUAAACUCAUAGAGUAUUGUCGGGAUUACCAGUCCAGGCUAAAUCCCCUACAACGACAAUUACUCUAAUGAGCUUGGAUCUGAAUUACCAGUCCAGGCUAAAUUCAGAUCCUAAUUCAGAUUACCUGUCCGGGCUAAAUCCAUUUUACACAUAUUCUUCGGGAGGGCUAUAUCAAGAUAGGAUCACCCGUCUGGGCUAGAUCCUUUUUACCGUCAAUUUCUUUUCAGAGAUCCAUCGAAUUUUCCUUCCAUUCAACAGGGAUUUAUUUUCAAGUUAUAUCGAGUAUUUACCAAUAUUUCAUCAAUUAUCAUAAAUUGAAUAUUCAAAUCAUAUUUUCAUUACAUAACCACAUAUUUCAAGUGUUUAAAAAUACAAUUCAAGUUACACAAACUUACCUCAUUGAUUGUUCGUGUUUAUGAUUUCAUUAUUCUGAUAUAUUUUCUUUUCCAUGAUCAAGUCUCGUAUUUGUGUCAUCCGGAUCUUUAUAAAUAAAUUUGAUCAUUAUUUUCAUUCAUUUCAUAUUCUAAUGCAUUUAAUUAAUGCUCCAGGCAAAAAUUACCAUUUUGCCCCUAAACUUUUAAUUAAUGACGAUUUCAUCCUUAGGGUCAAGAAAAUAAAAUUCUUGCAAUUUAAUCCUUAUUUCUAGCUAUUAUUAUCAUACAUAUUGAUAACAGUCCAUGAAUUCUAUAAAAUAUAAAAAAUUUUCACAAUUUCAACACUUUUCAAUUUAAUCCCUAAAACAUGUUUUCCCCCGAUCUUGAACUGAAUUGAAAAGUUCGUUAAAUUUUGUAAUAUAAAUAAUAAAAUAAUCUAUUUCAUGCAAUUUAGUUAUUUCUGACUUUUUUACAAAAUUGCCCAUAAAGUUUUACUUUUAUUCAAUUUAGUCCCCAAGCCUAAAACAUGCAAAUUAGCCAUGCUAGAUGAAUAUUCAUACAUAUUUUCCUCCUCCUCCUCUCCAUUCCACAUCCUUAAUUUAUAUAACAUGCAACAAGUAACAUUAUCAAUAAUUUCACUAUUUACUUAUAUGUACAUUCAAAACUGUCCAUUUGCGUCAUAGUCACUAAAUUAUUUAUAUAUUAAGCUAAAGAACUCAAAAUUAAGAUCCGUUAAUUUUUCCUGAAACUAGACUCACAUGUAUUCUUACCAUAAAAUUUUCAUAAUUUUUGGUUUAUCCAAUUAGUACAGUUUAUUCAUUAAAGUCUUCCCUAUUUUUCUAUUUGACAGUUCUGACCACUCUUCACUAAAGUUUAAUUAUCUAUUUAAACAGAAUUAAAAUGAUGUUAUAAUUUGUUUCUUAUAAAAAUAGACUCAUUAAGGAAUUUAACCAUAUAAAGUAUGUAACAAAAUUAUUUUUUUAUAAUUUUUAGUGAUUUUUCCAAGUUAGAACAAGGGAUCUUGAAAUCAUUCUGAACCAGUCUCACAAAAACAUAAAUAUCUCAGAAUACAGAAUUACUUUACUUUCUCUAUUUAUUUUAUAUAAAAAUAGACUCAAUAAGAUUUAAUUCCAUAUCACCCUUAGCUUCUAAUUCAAUUUCUAUCAUUUUUUGUGAUUUUUCAAAGUUAGCCUAUUACUACUGUCUAAAACUACUUUAGUGCAACAUAUUGAUUACCAAGUUUAUAACACUCCUAUUUCCAUUUUCUACCAUAUUUCCCAUUAUUUUCUCUCAUUCCCUUCACUAAUAUAUCAAAAACAUGGAACCAUAUAAAAGAAAACUCUACAUUAACAUCAAUUCCAUGCUUUUUCAACAAUAUUAGACUUAAAAAUAUAUUGAAAUCUUAAUGUUCUUACCUUUUCUUAUUAACUUCAAUCUUUAACUUGAUUUUUCUCUCUCCUCCAGCUUCUAUUUCUUGAAUCCAACUUGAUAUUCUUGCUCCCCAUCAUCUCCUUGCUAUCUUUCUCUCUUGAUGGCUAUGGAAAUUCUUUCAAUUUUUAGGUGAGAAUAAUGAAUUUUUGGUGAAAGGACUAAAUUGUAAAUAAAGAAAACUUCUUUUCUUCUUACUCUUUCUUACGUUGGUUUGCAUGGAAAGGAAAGAUGAUGAAAAUUCUUCAUCUUUCUUUCCUUAUAUGCUAAAUAAAUAAUAAUAAAAUAAUAUUAAAUAUCUCAUAAAAUAUUAAUAAAAUAAUAUUUAUCUAAUUAAUUAAUUUAAAAUAUCAUCAACAUAAUCAUUACAUUCUAGAAUUCUCUCUCUUACUAAUUGACCAUUUUGCCCUUCAUGAUCUUUUAGAAUUCCAUCCUUGAGUCAUCAUUUAAUUUGGUAAAAUUGCAAUUUAGUCCCUCAUAGUUCUUCACUUAUUCAAUUUGGUCCUAAUUUAUCCAUUUUCCUUAGUUUCUAGAUCAUUCUACCUUUAAAAUAUUUACACUAUUGGUCCUUCAACUUUUCAUAUUUACACUUUAACCCUUUAAGUCUUGAGUAUUUACUCUUAGGCAACAAAACUUUUCUGACUUUUACAAUUGAGUCCUUUCCUGGAUCAAGAUAUCAUAAUUUACUUCCCAAUGUUGCCAUAACUCAAAACUUCCCUUUUUAUCACUUUAUUUCCUUAUUUUAUUAUAUCAAUGAUAAUAUAUUACUGUAAAGAUUUUCGGGGUAUUACAAAUCAGCCUCGAGAAGGAAAGAAAAUGAGGUGAAUAGCACGAGCAUGUAUAAUAAGCCAGUCACCGUGAGCCAACCGAGGACGGUGACUACCAGCCAUCAGGGCUCCGCAAGACAAGACUCCAACCCAAAGCCUAACAAGGAAAGAGUCCAGUUUACGCCUAUCCCGAUGUCCUAUAGGGAAUUGCAUCAGAGCUUAUUCGAUGUCCAUGUGGUGUCACCCUUCUAUCUAAAGCCAAUGCAACCCCCAUUCCCUAAAUGGUAUGACGCAAACGCCCAAUGCGAAUACCAUGUGGGAGUCACAGGACACUCGAUAGAAAACUGCACCACUUUCAAGAAAAUGGUUGAAAGACCCAUUACCUAACCAUGGGGAUAAAGGGAUAAGUGUGAUAAUCGAGAGUUCAAGGAAAGAAAUUAAGAUGAAUAUUGCAGAAGUGAAUACCCCGUUGAAAGAAGUAUGGAAGAAAAUGGUGGAAAGAGGGUUGAUGACACAGAAUUCAAGGAAUAGACACCGAGAAGUAAAAAAUUAUUGUGAGUUCCAUAAUCAAGAGGACCAUGAGAUUCUGAAAUGCAGCGAAUUUAAGGCUCUAAUACAAGGAUUGAUGGAUAAUAAGGAGCUAGAAUUAUUCGAGUAUGUCGGGAACCCAGAAAGAACAGGCAUAUGUGCCUCAGAAAAGGGGUCGACGAAGAAUGCUUAUGAAGUCAACCACCCAGUGGUUAUCAUAUCACGUCCGAGAAUUAAUGAAGCCGGGGCACAAGUGGCACCAAAAGUCGUGAUCCAGAAGCCCGUUACUUUCUCUUAUAAAGAUAGCAGAAGGGUACCUUGGAAUUAUAGCUGCAAUGUAACAAUCCCAGGGGAAGAGAGCUCGGCUAGUGCUUCAAAGAAGAACCAAGAUACAGGUUUCUAUACACGCAGUGGGAGACGUUAUGAUCUUGCGGGUACAAAAACUGAAACCGUUAAAGAAAAGGCCCCAAUAGUUGAGCAAAGGAAGGAGAAGACGGUCAGGUUCGAAUCGCUAGUCAAUGAGUCAGUAAUCGAGAAUGAAGCUAGGGAAUUCCUAAAAUUUUUAAAGCAUAGUGAGUACAGCGUUGUUGAACAGCUACACAAGCAACUAACUCGCAUCUCAGUGCUAGGCUUACUCUUGAGCUCGGAGACGCAUCGGAACCCGUUAAUGAAAGUGCUGAACGAGGCUUAUGUCGCGAAUGUCAUCUCUGUCAACAAACUGGAUCGUCUGGUCAACAACAUCAGCGCCGAUAAUUUUAUUUUCUUUAACGAUGAUGAAAUACCACUGGGAGGUAUGGGGUCCACAAGGGCUCUGCACAUUACCACACGUUGCAAGGGAUACACGUUGCCGAGGGUAUUGAUUGAUAAUGGAUCAGCACUAAACGUCCUACCCCUAUCCAUAUUGAAUAGGCUGCUCGUGGAUAGUUCCCAUAUGAAACAUGCCAAAAUGAAGAGAGUUUGAUGGUACUGAAAGGAAAGUGAUGGGGAGGAUCGAAAUACCCCUUCUAAUCGGCCUUAGCACGUACGAGUUAGAUUUCUUGGUAAUGGACAUCAAGCCCUCUUACAAUUGCUUAUUGGGUAGGCCAUGGAUUCACUCAGUGGGGGCCGUCAUCGUUACAUCAAAAGCUUAAAUUUAUAACGGAAGGUCGAUUGGUGACCAUAAACGCGGAAGAAGACAUCAUUGCAUCCGUUACCAGUAAUGCACCGUAUGUAGGGACAGAUGAUGAAGCAUAGAAUGUUCUUUUUGGUCGUUAGAAUUUGUAAAUGUGACCUUUGUUGUCGAAGGAAAUAAGGUCUCAAUGCCCAGAAUCUCUAAAACUACAAGAAUGGGCCUAUAGCUGACGGUUGGGAAAGGAGCUUUGCCAGGAAAAGGGCUUGGAAGAAGCCUACAAGGAAGGGUCGAGGCACCUAUGCUUAUGGACAAACGAGACCGCUUUGGUUUAGGAUUCAAGCUAGAUGCAAAACAAAAGAAAAAAGAGUAAGAGAAGAAACAAGAAAGGAGAAAAAUGCGUUUAAGCGAGGAAGAGGUUAAGUGGGAGCCGAUGACCUUUCCUCAUAUAUCCAGAAUAUUCGUGUCGGGAGGGGCUAUUUACUCCGAAGAAAGAUCGACAAGGAUAGGGUAUGCCGAAGAACUGUUGGAGAACUUAAGCACUAAUGCCAUAUACGAAGAAGGAACUGGAGUAGAGCAUUUUUCGGGCAUUCGCCCUUAUGAGCCGGAAAGUGUUCUGAAUAAUUGGACUACUGAAGAGAUUCCUGUAGUAUUUAGAACUAACACAGAGUAAUGCCAAAAACACACCUAUUACUCUAGGCCUAGGAGUAAUAAGAGUAAUAAGUGUCCUUUUGUGAAAUAGGCUUAUGUACAAAAUCGUUAUUUUAAUGAAAUACUUCCUUUUGUCUUAUUCCGUACAAAUAUUCUUUUAUUCUUUCAUUCAUAAUCAUACCAUACACAUCAUUGUUCUUAGAUUCUUUUGUUCUUUGUAUCUUCCUUCACACCUACAACAGGUCUCCAGAUAUCAACGAUAUGAGCGAUGUUGCUACUAACUCAGAGUCUCCUUUUGAGCGGGAUACGUGUUUAUAGGGAUCUCAGGACUUUAAAGAUGACAGAGACUGUAACUUAUCCCCAGAUUUGUUAAGAACGGUAGAACAAGAAGAGAAAUAGAUUCGGCCUCACAAAGAGUCAGUAGAAGUCGUGAACUUGGGAGAUGAACUAGAAAGAAAAGAAGUAAAGGUCGAAGCUUGCAUUACCACAGAUACAAAGCAAGACCUUAUUGAGUUAAUCCAAGAGUUCAAGGAUGUCUUUGCAUGGUCGUAUCAAGAUAUACCUGGGCUAAGUACUGACAUUGUGGUACACAGGCUCCCCAUUAAAGAAGAAUGCAAGCCAAUUCAACAGAAGCUUCGAAGGAAGAAGCCAGAUGUUUUGUUGAAAAUAAAAGAGGAGGUCAAGAAGUAAUUCGAUGCUGGUUUCUUACAAGUAGUUAAGUACUCAGAAUGAGUAGCCAAUAUUGUCCCUGUCCCUAAAAAAGAUGAAAAAGUACGGAUGUGUGUAGACUACAGAGAUUUAAAAAAAGCUAGCCCAAAGGAUAAUUUUUCGUUUUCUCAUAUUUACAACUUAGUGGAUAACACGGCAGGUUACUCACUGUUCUUCUUCAUAGAUGGUUUCUAAGGGUACAACCAGAUCAAGAUGCAUCCUGAAGACAUGAAUAAAACCACAUUUGUAACCAUGUGGGGAACCUUUUGCCAUAAGGUGAUGCCGUUCGAAUUGAAAAAUACGGGAGCAACAUAUCAAAGAGCCAUGGUAACUCUGUUCCAUGAUAUGAUGCACAAAGAAAUUGAAGUCUAUGUCGACGACAUAAUCACCAAAUCCUGGACAGAAGAAGAGUAUGUGCAAGUCUUGAGGAAAUUAUUUUUGAGGUUGAGGAAGUUCCAACUAAAACUCAAUUCAGCAAAAUGUACCUUUGGGGCUAGGUCAGAGAAAUUGUUAGGAUUUGUAGUCAGUGAAAAAGGGAUUGAGAUUGACCCAAAUAAAGUCAAAGCCAUACAAGAGUUACCUCCGCCGCAUACUUAAAAGAAAGUUCGGGGAUUUUUAGGGAGACUAAAUUACAUCGCUCGGUUCAUUUCACAACUAACCGAGAAAUGUGACCCCAUAUUCUGUCUCCUUAAGAAACAUAACCAUGGUGUUUGGGAUGCGGAGUGCCAGAAAACUUUUGACAAGGUUAAGCAAUACUUGUCUAAUGCCCCAGUGUUGACACCACCUAGUCCAGAUAAGCCACUGAUACUGUAUUUGGCAGUAUUUGAAAAUUCCAUGGGAUGUGUACUUGGCCAACACGAUGAGUCAGGAAGGAAAGAAAGAGCGAUAUAUUACCUCAGUAAGAAGUUCACUGAGUGUGAGACGAGAUACUCGCCAAUUGAAAAGUUGUGUUGUGCCUUAAUCUGGAUAACCCGAAGAUUGAGACAGUACAUAUUAUACCACACAACUUGGCUAAUCUCUAAACUGGAUCCUCUGAAGUAUUUGAUGGAGUCAAUUGCUUUAAAUGGAAGAAUGGCCCGAUGGAAAAUUCUACUUUUCGAAUUCGAUAUCGUCUAUGUAAACCAGAAAGCUGUAAAAGGGAGUGCAAUAGUAGAUUUUCUAGCCAGUAGAGCUCUAGAAGACUACGAGCCUUUGAACUUUGAUUUUCCAAAUGAAGAUCUGAUGUACGUGGCAACCACUGAAGAAGACCCUCAAGAAGGUCAUCCUUGAAAGCUAAACUUUGACGGAGCAUCAAAUGCUGUGGGUAAUGGAAUCGGGGUAGUCUUGGUAUCACCAGAUGGAGAUCAUUAUCCCUUCACUAGUAAAUUGGAUUUUGACUGCACGAACAAUAUGGCAGAAUACGAAGCAUGCAUCAUGGGCAUCCGGACAGCCAUAGAAUGCAAGAUUAAAGCACUAGAAGUAUAUGGAGAUUCUGCGCUAGUGAUUUAUCAACUCAAAGGUGAAUGGAAGAUGAGAGAUCCCAAGUUGGUCAAUUACCGAAGUCUGGUCCUUGAAUUAAUUAAAGAAUUUGAUGCUAUCAUCUUCUGCUAUCUCCCUCGAGAAGAAAAUCAGAUGGUCGACGCCCUAGUAACUUUAGCUUCCAUGAUUAAGGUGAACAAACAAGAAGAUGUGAAACUGAUCCAAAUAAGUAUUUAUGAGGCUCCAGCUCAUUGUUACAACCUCGAAGAAAAAGCAGAAAAUGAUGAUCACCCUUGGUACCACGAUAUCCUGCGGUAUGUGAAGAAUCGUGAGUACCCCGACUAAGCUACUGAGAACGACAAAAGAACGUUGAGAAGACUGGCCAGUGACUAUGUCUUAUACGGGGAGAUCCUAUACAAAAGCAGGAAGGAUCAGGUACUGUUAAGAUGUGUAGACACUAUUGAGGCUAAGAAAAUCUUGGAAGAAGUCCAUGAUGGCAUCUGUGGGACAUGGAAGGAGACUAUAUUAACUACGCCAAAAGAUGUCAUAAAUGCCAAAUCUAUGGAGACAAGAUUAAUGUGCCUCCUUCACCUCUGCAUGUUAUGACUUCUCCAUGGUCUUUCUCGAUGUGGGGCAUAGAUGUGAUUGGGUCAAUUUCACCAAAAGCUUCAACUGGGCAUCGAUUAAUCUUUGUGGUCAUCGAUUAUUUCACCAAGUGGGUGGAGGCCGCUUCAUAUGCCAAUGUUACAAAAUCGGUAGUUAGCAAAUUCUUCAAAAAGGAAAUUAUUUGUUGAUAUGGAAUGCCAGAAAAGAUCAUAUCUAACAAUGCAUUGAAUUUGAACAAUAGUACAAUAGCAGAGGUCUGCAGUCAGUUCAAGAUCAGACACCACAACUCGUUACCAUAUCGCCCGAAGAUGAACAGUGCAGUCGAAGCAGCCAAUAAGAACAUCAACAAAAUUGUGGGAAAGAUGACUGAAACUUAUAAAGAUUGGCAUGAGAAGUUACUAUUUGCCCUUUAUGCUUAUCGAACGUCCAUCAAAACCUCUACUGGGGCAACGCCUUUCUCAUUGGUCUAUGGAAUAGAGGCGGUUUUACCCAUCGAGGUUGAGAUUCCUUCCCUUAGAGUUUUGUCAGAGGUAAAGUGACGUGUUUUUAUAUAUUAAUCAUGUGUUUAUUUUGAGCUUGAGCUUACUAAUUUGAGCUAUUUAUGUCUUUUUAUCUUUUAGGGACUAAAUUGGAGGCGAAAAGUAAAUUCAAGGGAAAAAAGCGUUAAUUUGGAGAUUAAAUGGGCCAAUAUGCAACGUGGGACAAAUAUGGUGCCAAAAGUGCGAACAUGGAAGGCACAAUGACUUAAAAGCAAAUAGAAUAAAUUUUAUUUUGGAAGACUCUAUUUUAUUUAUAUUAGGAUAAUUAAUAUUAAAGAUAAAUAUUAGGAUUAUUUAAAUUUUAGGAUUUUAUCUUUAUUUAUCUUUAAUUAAAUGUAUUUAUCUUUUUAGAAUUUAAGUUCAAUUAGACUAUCUCCCUAGCACUAUAAAUAGGGGGUGAAGUGACUCUAUUUGAGGUUGACCUUUUUCUGUAAACACUCUCCCCCUAAAAGUCUUUUGUUCUUUCCAUAUUUUUUUAUUUUAAUAAAAUUUCUUUUUCCAUAAUUUUAUUUUCUUUUCCACCAUUAUCAUGAGCCAUUAAAACCCUUCUAGCCAAAAGUUGUCAAUAUUUCCCCAAAAAGGGUUCUUGAGGCCUAGAAUCCGUACUUAGCCUUCUCGCCAAGUAUUCAUCGUUUCUCCGCACUACGGGCUGACGCUUCCAUCCAUGGCCCUUAAGAAGUAAGCUUUUCAGCAUAUGCAAAGGCAGUCGCUUUGUAUGUUUUGGAAGGAUUGUAUAGUCGGUUCGUUAACUUACUGCAUCAGAGGUUAGCGAGCCAAAGAGACAAAAUGGCGUGGGAUUCGAUAUUGAGAAGCAUUGAUCUAGCAUAGAUUACUGGCUAGAGUCAGGUUCCUUAAAAAUCGUAAGUCUAAUCUUUGGAGCUGGUGGUCGCCUCUUCCACUAUAACUGGCUUACUUGAGUCGAGAAGGAUCAUCCAAAAGCCAAGGAUUGAGCCCAACGCGGAAUGAGACAACCGGAGGCUGGAACUUUCCCAUAAGAAUUUCUUUUCUCUUAAAACUCUCUUUAUUAUUUUUAUUAUUUUCAUAAUCAUAAUUUCAGUAAACUUUAAAUUCUGUUUUUUUUUAUUUUUUCCAGGAACGCAAGUUUUCUUGGGCACGAUUAUGCCCAAGAUUUCGAGAAACAAGCAUUCGUAUAAUUCGGUCCCUGAGGAUUCGACCCUACUUCCUCUUUACUAUUUCUUUUUUGUUAUUUUAUAGGGAAUAGGAUAUUUUUGGUGCUCUCAACGACCGCAUCAAUGAGGCAGAAUGAAUCCAGUCCCGAUACGAUCAGUUGAAUUUGAUUGAAGAAAAGAGGCUAAGGGCUAUCCAUCAUGGUCAAAUGUAUCAAAAACGGAUGAUACAAACUUACAACAAAAAGGUUCGUCCCAGAGAAUUCCACGAAGAAGACCUAGUAUUAAAAAAAAUCCUGCCUAUACAGAAGGACUUCAGAGGAAAAUGGAUGUCGAAUUGGGAAGGACCUUAUGUGGUGAAGAAGGCAUUUUCUGGAGGAGCGUUGAUAUUGACCGAAAUGGAUGGCAAGACUUUACCCAAUCCUGUAAAUUUAAAUUUAGUUAAAAAAUACUUAGCCUAAAAAAAAGAGGGGAGAGGCCAAGGUGAAAACUCAUAAAGAGCACCUUGAGACCAAAGGGAUUUUGAAUUGAAAACACGUAAAGGGCGAUUCAAGCUUUGAUCAAAGGUGGGGCAUGCGGUACUUUUACAAUAUCUGAAUUAGCAAGGAGGAGAAAUGUUACAUCUUAGGGGCAUCAAUAAGAGUACUUUAAGUUCCUUAAACACAUAUUUGGCUCAAAAAUGGGGCCCUUAAGAAGUUCGUACAGAGAAGCUCAUGCUGCGAUAUUUGAGGCACCUAUUUUUUUUAUUCAUUUUGUAUUCCAGCAAUGUUUGCUGUCUAUGAUUAAUCUAUUCCCUUCAAAUUUUGUUUCUGACAAAUUUCAGUUCUGUCAUUGUUAUGAUCUUUUUCAAGUAUUUUGCAUCGAAAUGAUGAUUAAUGGACCAAUAAUACUUUCACAAAAAGAGUUCUGCAUGUUACUCUGAAAGUUUCUAAAUAGUACAGGAACAUGAAACAGGACUGUUAUUUAGAACUAACCAAACUUAAGGAUUGGAAACAUUUGAGAAAGAAGAGUUUAAAUUGGAACUACAUCUUCGGGUUUUCUGUUCAAAGAUCUAAGCUGAACAAGAAGAUAGAGUACUGUUUCAGUGAUAGAACCUUGAUGAACAAAGAGCAAUGACAACCCAAACAAUAAAAAGGGAUUCAUUCUCACAACAUGCUGCAUUCGUGCAUUUAUAGAUCAUUCAUAGCACAUCUAGUUAGGAACAUUUGAUUGAUUUCAAUCAUAGCAUCCUAAUUAUUUGGCAUAAGCAUAAAUACAUUGAACCAAUUCUACAGGUCAUGUCCCUAGAUCGGUGAAUUCACAAGCCUUAACCCCCUAAGCAGUAGGGUAACAGGCUGAAUUACAGAUCUUGUCUCCCUAAGCAGUAGCAGAGUAGAUCGAAGACGAUGAGCCUUAACCCUCUAAGUAGUAGGGUAACAGGCUGAAGAUUAUAGAUAUUGUCUCCCUAAGCAGUAGUGGAGCAGAUCGAAGACGGUGAGCCUUAAUCCCCUAAGCAGUAGGGUAACAGGCUAAAAAUUAUAGAUCUUAUCACCCCAAGAAGUAGGGAAACAAAUCGAAGAUGACGGGCCUUAACCCCCUAAGCAGUAGGGUAACAGGCUAAAUUGAUAGAUCUUAUCACCCUAAGCAGUAGGAAAACAGAUCAAAGGUGGUGAGCCUUAACCCCCUAAGUAGUAGGGUAACAAGCUGAAUUGACAGAUCUUAUCACCCUAAGCAGUAAGGAAACAGAUCGAAGGUGAUGGGCCUUAACCCCCUAAGUAGUAGGGUAAUAGGCUGAAUUUACAGAUCUUAUCACCCUAAGCAGUAGGGAAACAGAUCGAAGGUGGUGAGCCUUAACCCCCUAAGCAGUAGGGUAACAGGCUGAAUUGACAGAUCUUAUCACCCUAAACAGUAAGGCAACAGGCUGAAAAUUACAAGUCUUAUCUCCCUAAAGUUGCAGUGGAGCAGUCUGAAGAUAGCAAGUCUUAUCUCCCUGAAGUUGCGUUGGAGCAGACUGAAGAUAGCAAAUCUUAUCUCUCUGAAGUUGUAGUAGAGUAGAUCUCCUUGAAGUUUCAACGGAGUAGAUUAAAGCUACAAGUAGUCGUAGUAGAGCAGACUGAAGAUAGUGAAUCUUAUUUCCAUGAAGUUGCGGCAGAGUGGAUCAAAGCAAAAGAUGCAGUGGACUAGAAUGAAGCUACCUGAAGAAGAGGAGCGCCAAAUAAGUCAAGACUCAGUGAGACCGGGCAAAAUUGGUCUUUCUUGAAAGUCUUUGCUCUGUUCUCGUUACACAACAACGAGCAAAGAGGGGCAAAUGUACACACCAAUUUUGCCCAGGCCCAUUUUAACCUAAACCUACCCCAACCCAAACAAAGGCUAAACCUACCCAACAGCCCAAAACUGAACAGACCCUAACCUCAGCCCACUACCUAAACAAAUUGUGGCAGAAAUCAAAAAGCCCUAACCCCACUAGCCGCCGUUUCUGUCCAAUCGCCCAUGCCAGUCGGCCACCUGCUCCACUGCCUUGUCUCUCACUUGCACCUGCAAAUUAAAUAGAGAAUAGACAAGUAUUAAUAAAAAAAGAGUUGUAAAUUGGCUUUAAAAAGGCCAAGCCAAAUCCAUUUUUAAGUUCAGCAAUUUGAAAAAUAAAAAAGCAUUUGAUUUUAACACACAAAAAGUAAAACAAACCACGAGAAUAACCCCAAAUCAAAGGAUCCAAAGACCAAAAGACAGAAUCAAAGGUCUAUUUAUUUUCUUUUUAUUUUUUUCUUUCUUUUUUCGAACUUGUUUGUAUAUACCAAACCCUAUUCUGUUAAAAACAAUAUAUAUACAUAUUAGAUAUAAAUAUAGCAAAAAAAACAACAAAUUUUUUUUACCUUUUGGCUAUUUUUGGCCACCGUGUACUGUGGCCGGCACGGCAGGGCCACGGUGGGGGGUGACCAAAUCCCUUGGCCGGUUCUGGCUUUUCUCUAGAAAGAAAAACUCCCUCCUCCCCUCUUGUUUUUUAAACUCAGAAGAAAUGAAAUUUUUUAAAAAAAAAUUUGACUUUUAUAACCCCCUGGUAUGGCGUCAUUUUGGGGCAAACAUUCAACACCCGAGACCCGACCUUAACCCGCCAAGGAUCUGUGUGUUUUUGGGCUGGGGGUCUAUUUGCGCUCCCAGUCCUUCCGCUUUUGAGGCCGGUUUCAAUGUGGUCCCGUUUCCUUUUUAUCUCUUUUUAAUUUACCCCUAAAAUUUUUUCAUUGUUUUAUUUUGAUCCUUGGUCGAACGGUGCGUUUUAGGGGGACGGGUUUAUUACCCAUCUGGUCCUCCCUUGUUGUUCGCGUAUUCGAUUGGGUCCUUUUCUUUUAUUUUUAGUUCUGAUUUGCCCCGAACUUCUAUUUUAAGUUCAAAUUUGUCCCUUUUCAUCCCUUUUUUAUUAUUUUAUUAACUAACUUAAUAUUAUUGUUACUAUAACCAUAUCUUAUUUUUAUGCUUAUUGUUUGCUAUUAUUAUAGUUAUUACGUUCGUUCUCUUAUUAUUUUUGUUGCUAUUUCUUUUGUGAAUUUGUAUUAUUAUUUAUAUCAUUGUUAGUAUUAUUAUUAUUCCUUAGUUUAUUAUUAUUAUUUUAUCAUCAUUUUCCAUUAUUGUUAUUACUAAUAUACUAUUAUUAUUCCUAUUAAUGUAUUGUUAUUACUCUCUACUUUAUUAUUAUAUUAUUAUUAUUACUGCUAUCAUCAUAUUAUUAAGCUAAUUAAUUUUAUAUUGAUUCUGUCAUAUUAUAUAUAUAUAUAUUGUUCUUUUUGUAUUUAUCUACAUUAUUGUUAUUAAUCAUUGUAAUUACUUUUGAACAUAUCAUGUAUUUUAAAUUAUUAUCAAUUUAAAAUAUUUUAUAUAUGUCAUUUCUUUUAAACUAUCAUACGUAAUAUUUAUUUUGAAACUUUUAUAUGCAUCUUUGUAUUUCAAAUUAAUAUAUAUACGUACAUAUUUUUUUUUCUAAAAAAGGAAUUUAAUAUAUAGUUGUAUCGUUUUAUAUGACAAAUGUGUUAAAUUCCUUUUAUUAUUUAAUAUCAACCUUUCUACUACUAUUAAUUUUAAAAGUUCACAUGUUAUUUAUGUUAAACUGUUGUACAUAUCUUCAUUCUAAACUUUCAUACACAAUUAAAAUUUUUUUUUGAAUUAUUAUUUUGAGUUAUUCUAUUUAUAUUAUUUUUGUUAUCUUGUAUACUAAUGAUUUUAAAUUAACUAAUAUCAUUUACUUUAAAUCAUUUUCCAUAGUGUCUAUUUCAAGCUUGUAUUACCUAUAUGUUAUUCGUUUACAACCGUCCCAUUGUUUAUUUUUUAAUUGUUCAUAUUAUUCAUUUCAUUUCUCUUUAAUUAUUAAUAUAUAAAUAAUGUAUAUUGAGUGAUUAUUGUCAUUGUGUGUACUAUAAUUCGUUCGUUCGUAUUUUCAUAUUAUUAUCACCCAUUUGCAUAGUAUUUUAUCCAUGUAUAUUGUUCCAUGUUUAUUUGCCUUUCAUUCGUAAUUAUCGCAUUGUAAUCUUUGACUUAUUGAUCCGAAAUUCAUGAUUCCAUUUCAAUUCAAGUCAAAGUUAGUGCGUUUUAAGCCGGUUUUACAAUUAUUCGUUUGAAAAUUCCUUACAACGAAGGCAACAUUUGAUACUUGGGAAUUCGAGGAAUCGUGCCCUAUCAUGCUGGGUUUCAAUUUCCCGUUUGUUCCAAAUAAUUGAAUAUUCCUUUAGUAUUUUACGCGUGUUUUAUAAAUUCUAAAGUAAGGCAAUGGUCAAUGUUUGGAAGUUCGAGGAAUCGUGCCCUACCGUGUUGGGUUUCGGUUUUUCGUUGAACUAAAUAAUUGGGGCAUCCUUUUGUGAUUUGCAACAUAUAAAUUUUUGGAAGUCAAAAGUUUAUCAUGUUUUCGAGAGCAUAGAGGAUCGUGUCCUAUCAUGCUGGACGUGAUGUUGUAUACCCUUGAGACGAAAAAGUUUUGACGACCAACUCUAACCAUUCAAACGUUUUAAAAGAAACCAUAUUUCAAUUUUUUUAAAAUUUUAGACAUAAGGGCAAUAUUUAAUCAAUUCGGUACCAAUUUUGGGCGUAGUGAGUGUGCUAACCCUUCCUCAUGCGUAACCGACUCUCGAACUCGUUUUUUGAUUUUUCGUAGACCAAAAAUUAUUGUUUUAGUAAAUCUUAAUUUUUAUUAAAACGAUUAAUUUGGGGUGACCCGAUCACACCUCAUCAAAAAGGAUUGGUGGCGACUCCCUCAAUUUUCGUUUUCUUUUCAAAAUAGAAAGUCUGUAACACCCCAACAAUUGGGCCUAGAAGAGUUGGGUUUUGAGUCUGGGAUUCGGAUAGAAGAAAACCUGAAUAAUUAAGAAGUUUUAAAUAUUAUCGUUUAAGAAAAAAAUUUUGAAUUAAAUUACUACUAGAAAAUUUUUACUAUAUUUAUUAUUACGGAUAUUUUAAAUUUUUAUGAAAUUUUAAUUAGUAUUAACAGAUAAAAUUAUUAUUAUUAGAAAAUUUUACUGUAUGUAUUUUUAUUGAUUUAUGGAAAUUAUAAUUAUUAUUAUUAGGAAAAAAUAUAUAUAUAUUAUCGUAUUUGAAAUUUUUAUUAUUAUGGUUAUUAUUAUUAUUAUUUUAGUUUUUAAAUAAAUUUAGAAGUAUUUAAAGUGGGGGAAAAAUUCGAUCCAAGACUCUAGCAAAAAUUAUUAUUUUUACUUCUUUAGGGGAUCUGGAAAUUAAGGUUUAUUAAUAAUUUGGGCUAAAAUUGGACAAAAGGAGGAGUCUGGCCUAGUGGUUAGGCGUGUUAAGCAGUAGGAAAGGAGCAGGGGUUCGAUUCCCUGCGUGCACAAAUUUGGUUUUUUAUUUUAGAAAAACCAAGGGCUGUCGCAGGUAGGCGUUAUUAAUUCAGGCUAAUUCAUGUUGGAAGCAGGCAUCUGGCCCAGUGGCUAAGGACGUUUAUGGCGCAGUGGCAGUAGGGUAUUAGGAGUUUCACAAGGGUACGGGUUCGAGUUCAGGCGAAGGUAUGUUUAAUUUUAUAUUUUUAAAAUGUACGAGACUUUAGCAGGUAACCUUUAAGAUAAAAUGUGCGGGUAUAUGAUUGAAAAUACAUGCGCGUCCCAGUGGCCAGCAACGUGCUGGGCAGCUUGGAGGUUCUAGGUUCGAGCAGUGUUACGCGCAGGGGGUGCUUCUUUUUUACUGUACGUGCGUGGGAAGGGCCAUACGGGAUCGAAACGCUACCAGCAAAAGGAGGAGUUGGCUGAGCGGUGGACUGUUGCUCAGCAGUGGAGAGUUUGAAUUAAAUUUAAACUUUGAAUUUGGCCACGAAUUAAGGAGAUAAGGAAGGAAUUAAAGUUGGAAAAGGAUUUUAUUUUAUUCUAAUCUUAUUUUAUUUUUUUUGCUCAUAUUGUUUUUUAUUUUUUCUCAAAAGCUGAACAAUUCUCUCCUUUUCUAUUUUCUUUCCUCGAAGCCAAAUUCUUUUUAAAACAAUUUUUUCUUCUCAAAUAUUGGCUGCCGAUUACUCCUUUGGUUGAAACCAUAUCUCCUUUCCUUUUAAUCUUUAAAAAGACCGAACCUCUAAUCCUACAUCUCUUCCUCUACUGAUUGUCUCUUCGAAGGUGAACUUAUCGUCACCUAUUUUUUUUUCUUUUAGAUCGCAAUAGCCAUAUUCUAGGAUAGAUCCAAAAGCCGAAAAGCCUCAUAUUUUAGUAAUUCGGGAAUUAAUAUCUAGUUCUAUUCUCUACUCGCAUUCUAAGAUUGGAUUCACUGUGGAUCUGAGAUUGGGGAAGUGUUUGAAACGCUCUUGACAAGUACAUCAUUUGUGGUAAGUACUCAGAAUCUUAUUUUCUUCUUUAUUUCGGGAUUUAAAGAAAAGCCGAAAACCCCUAUAUGCAAAGGGUGCCUGUCGACUAAACUAAAAGGGUUUAGUGGUGUUAUUAGAUUUGUUUUGCUCUAGUGUGGAUUAAAGGCUACUAAUUGAGGGCUUGGAUAUUUGGAAUGACCAAAAUUAGAUCUAGUCCAUUUUUUCGACAAAGGUAAGAACUUUAGUGCCUAAGGUGUUAAGGGCCAAAUAUGGUAAGGGUUUGAUGUGUUAAGUUGUUAUGGAUUCAUAGUUUAACGUGUUAGUAACUGAUUGUAGGCAACUCGUGUGUGGAACUCGUCAACGUUUCGUCGAAAAAUAGGUGUGUAAACGACACCCACUCAUAGACUAGAUCGGUAAAAGUCGAAAAGCCGAAAAGCCGGCAUGUGUGAACUUACGAGCGUGCGAGCGCUUGUGAGGUGGUUUGGUUGUUAAUUUUGGUAGUCACAAGCAGUAUGAUUGUAGAGUGCGCAAUUUCGUGCACUUCGGUAUAUUUGGGCUUAAUGGGCCGAAAAAGGUUUAAUGGGCCAACAGGCCCCAUUCGGUAAAAACGCUCGGUAAGUGCUUCUGUUAAUGUGUUAAUGGUUAGAAUAUGUAUUUAAACUCUAGAAUAGUAAAUUUUAUUAAACUACCCCUAAGUAUGAAAAUUAUCAUUUUAUCCCUAGGUACAAAAUGACCGUUAUACCCCUAGGGUUAAUUUUGACUGAAAUACAUGAUAUUCUGAUUAUGUUUGUUAUAUGCCAUGACAUGUAUAUCUGUUGCAUGGGGUUGGGUUUUGUUAUGGAGGAAGAACCCGUUCUGGUGGCAAUGCCACAUAUUCUGAUAUAAGCAGCUUUGCUGCGGAUUAUAGUUAGUGCCGCAACCGGUGCUAACACUGUAAGUGUAGGGAUGGCGUGGGUGAUUUAUUCCCCACAGGAAGUGUAGGGAUGGACGGAGGCAAGUGCAGGGUUGGAUGGGUUUAUCAUGCAUUAAUCAUAUGAGACUGUAUUGAAAUGGGCCCAACUGUGUCAAUAUGGGCAAGGCCCAAUAUAUCUCGACUUGUAAUAGGGCUACGGCCCAGAUUGAUACUGAUAUGGGCUAGGCCCAAUAUACUCUGAUACUGUAAGGGGCUAUGGCCCAGAUUAAUAUUGAUAUGGGCUAAGGCCCAAUUAACUUUGAUUUCUGAAUAGGGCUUAGGCCCAGUAAAGCUUGAUUUGGGCUCUGGUUGGGAUACUUUACACACUGAGUUUUCCAAACUCACCCCCCUUUUUCCCAUCUUUGCGGGUGAGCCUUAGAUCGAUGGACUUGGAGCUGGGCGGGAUUUAGAGUGGCCACGAAGAUUAAAUUUCUGGUUUUUAAAUAAGUUUCAAUUAGCUUCCUUUUAAAUUUCGCAUUUAUUUUUGAUUAUUUUUAUUCUGGUUUAAGUUGUAAUAAGGCCGCUCUUUUUAUUAUUUUUAAUAUUUUGGGUUAUUAAAUUGGUUAGCUCUAGGGCGCAUUUUAUAAAAGUUACUUAUUUUCAAAAUAUCACGAUUACCGAGCAAAGCUUCCGCAACGUAAACGUUUUCAAAGGAAAUAAAUAUUUUAAAUGGACUUAAACUUAAUUUGUUGUUCAUGGACAAGUAAUAUGCUUUAAGUGUGGCAAUAGAUGUGUGCAUGUCUAGGAUUGGAUCCAUGAAGAGCUUGGUACUUAAGCAGUUCAAUAGACUCACCUCCUCUUUUCUGGCUUCCUACCUGGUGCACAGCUUCCAUUCACUUUAAUCUAUAACGAAAAUAUUCUUUUCAAAGAUUUUUAAUUAAAACAUGAGUUUUACAUCAAGAAGGGUUUUCAAUGAAAACACGGUUUUCGAAAACACCUCAAUGUGACAUGCCAAAUUCGGCCGUAACGUCUGGGCCGGGUUUGGGGUGUUACAAAGUUGAUCCCCAUUUUUCAAAAAAAUGGUUUUGACAAUAAGGACUAACAUUGACCAAUACGAGAAGUAAAUGGAUUGAAAUUGACUAAAAUAAAGUAUAAGUACUAAAUCCACAACUUAUGCAAAGUACCACUUCUAGUAAUAGAAUUUGACCAAUUUUUUUAUGAUUAAAGUAACUUUACUUUUGUAAAGUGAAAUUUUAGAUACGGUGAUGUCUUUUUCUUAGUAAGAAUUGGGUUGUAGUUGGGUCGAACCCCCAUAAGUGACCCAUAUGUCUUUUUGAUCUUGGUAAAUCUAUCAAUUUAUUUGGAUGAUUUACCAAUACUCACAACAUACCAAAUGACAAAUAAGAAAGCCCAACAUAUAACUAUAAAUUUAUUUAGAAAGUAUACAUGAAAUAUAUAGAUGCAAACAAUAACAUCACUCAACCAAACGUUUAUGAUAACAUGGUCUACAAGUGAAUCAUGAAAUGAACUCAAAUCUGCUGGUCAAGAAACUCCCAUAAAAAAGAAUAUCUAAAAACCAUAUGUUGAAUAUUGAGGGAAAACAAAAGUAGUAUCAUGAUUCAAGCUUCCGGCAUGGUAGGCAAUUAGGCAACUCAGAACCAUCCGGCAAUUAUGGUUUUGGUAACUCCAGAAUUUUUGGUAAUUCGGGAACUUUGGGCAAUUCUGGCUCUGAUAAAUUAGAUUUUUUCAAUUCGGGAGUUUUGGGUAAUUCUGGUUUCAAUUCAGGCUUUGGUAAUUCAGGAGCUUUGGGUAAUUUUGGCUUAGGCACUUCAAGAACUUUAGGCAAUUCAGGCAUUGGUAACUUAGGAACUUUUGGUGAUUCAUGUUUUGGCAACUUAGGAACUUUGGGUAAUUCUGGCUUGGGCAUCUCAGGAACUUUAAGCAAUUCAGGCUUUGGUAAAUCAUGAACUUUUGGUAAUUCGGGUUGUGGCAACUCUAGCUUGGGCACCUCAGGAAGUUUGGGAAAUUCAGACUUUGGUAACUCAGGAACUUUUAGUAAUUCGGGUUUUGGCAACUUAGGAGCUUUAGGUAAUUCUGGCUUGGACACCUCAGGAACUUUAGGCAAUUCUGGCUUUGGUAACUCAGAAACUUUAAAUAAUGGAUACUCAGGAGCUUUAGGUAAUUCUAGCUUGGGCACCUCAGGAAGUUUGGGUAAUUCUAGCUUUGGUAACUCAAGAGCUUUUGAUAAUUCAGGUUUUGGCAAUUCAGGAACUUUGGGUGAUUCUAGCUUGGGCACCUUAGGAACUUUCGGCAAUUCUUGUUUUGGUAAUUCAGGAACUUUUGGUAAUUUAGGUUUUAGUAGCUCAAGAGUUUUAGGUAAUUCUGGUUUGGGCACCUUAGGAACUUUAAGUAAUUCUGUCUUUGGAAACUUUGGCAACUCCAGAACUUUAGGCAAUUCAAGUUUUGGCAACUUUGGUAUUUUAGGUAUUUCAGGUUUUGAGAUUUCUGGCAACUCGGGCUUUGGGAGUUCAACCUUUGGAAAGGACGGCAUCUCAGGCAACUCUCGUUUAGGGAUCUCUGGCAUAGAUUUCUCUAAAAGACGUCAGGCACCAACCAAGACUAUGUUGCUGCUCAUCAAUGAUAGUGUGAAAAGUAAAAACGAUAUCACAAAGAAAGGGAAUCGAAGAGAAGCCAUGGUUAAAAAAACCAGAAGCUAGAUACCAAGAAGUGCUUCAAAAUGGAUAUUUGAAAUGUGCUUGUUUAUGCAAUUGCAUGAGCUGAUGACCCUUUUAUAGGUAUUGGGAAGUGAAGAUUUUGUUAGGUCAACUUCUCACCUAUUUAUUACUGAAAACUAUAUCAGACUAUGACAUAUAUGAUGAUGAUUGUCUAACAUAUAUAAUUUGUUGUCAUCAACUCAACGCCUUUGGCCUUUUUUAUGAGUUGAAUACUCGAUUAAUUUGUUUAUAUUAUCAUAAUAAAAUUAAACAAAUUGGAUUCAGUCUAUAACAACUUAGUUUUAACUUUUAAGUUUAUUUUCUUCAAACAUGAAGCCUGGAUUUCUAUCUUAAUGGCUCGCUCUUCAACAAAAACAUAAUAAUAUUUGUUAAUUUUGGAUAUGAUAUAAUGAUAAAAAAUAAUAUAAAUUAAUUUUAAAAUAUUAUUGUAGCGACGUAAAAAUUUUGAUUUCGGUCGCUAAUUGUGGCGAUCUAGUGAAAAAGUUUAGAAACUGAAGUUCGAUUUUAAAAUAAAGAGAGAGUUGCCACCGAUCCUUUUUCCUAGGUGUGAUCGAACACCUAUUAGAUUCAUUUUUUAAAACAAAAGGAAGGCUGAAUUUAGGUCUACGUUAAAAGCCAGAGAAAAAUUAGGGUUCGGGAGUCGGUUACGCGCGAGGAAGGUAUUAGCACCCUCGCGACGCCCAAAAAUUGGUAUCUCAUAAACACAUGUUGUCUUAAUUUUCAAAAAUGCGAAUUCAAUGUAAAGUUUAGUUAUGAUCCGGAAAAAAACGAGAAAUUUUAGUUUAUUCCGGUUUUUGAGAAAGGUAUAUUGCUUUAACACGAGUCAAUUGACGUUCACCCAACGUAGCGAUGAACUCGAUGACUUAAUGUUAAAUCGAUAUGUUGCCUUGAUUAUUGAAAUUAAUUAGCAAAACAAGAAUACGAUUUUCGAAAUAAUGCAAAGUAAAAUAAUAUGAAAUAAAAAUCAAUAAAUGAAAGAGCUAGGGAUAUAUUGAAACAAAUAAUCGAGGUGACAAUAAUAUUAGAAAAGAUGAAGGUAUAAUGUAAUAAUAGAAUUGGACACGAAAUUAAAAUAAUGAAUGUAUACACAUAAUAAUAAUAUUAAGAAUGCGUGUGUAAGAUGACAUAUAUAUUUAGCAAUAUUAAAAAUCCAUACAACAUAGAUAGAACAUAUAUAGUAUAUGCAUACCUUAGAAAUGAUAAGAAUAAUAAUAAAACUAUUUUGUACACUACACAAAUACAUACACACACAUAUAUAUAUAGAUAUAUAAACAAUAGUAUUAGGAAUAUACAAUAUAAUAUUAGAAACAUGUAUAUAAUAGUGUAAAAGAAAAAUAUGACAAAUAAGAUUAAAAUAUAUAUAAUAAUAUAUAAAAUAUAGUGUUAAAGUCUUAUAUACAUAACGUAUGUGCAAAACACAUAAGAUUAAAACAUUUAUAUAAUACAUACAUAUACAACGAAAAUACAUAUAUAAAAUAACAUGAGAAAUAUACGUAGGAAUUUAGUAUACAAAACUAACUAUUAAAUAAAAUCAUAUACAUACACGAAAUAAUACGUAUAAAAAAUAUAAUCAACAAUAUAAGAAUAUGUACAUGAAAUGGUAUAAGUAUAUAUUAUUAACAUUAAAAUACCUACGUAAUAUAUAUAAAAUAUAUGUAAUAUGUAUUAGAGACGAUCAUAAUAAUAUAAUAUAUAAUAAAAAACUGUUCACAUAUUACAUAAGUAUGUACAUAAAUAUAUAUAUAAUAAUGGUACCAGAAAUAUGUCUAUAAUAGCAUAAAAGAUAAUUUUAAAAUAUAUAUAUGGGGCAAUAUGCAAACUAUAUACAUAACAUGAUUAUAAAAAUGCAUGGCCUUAAACACACAUAUAACGUAUGCAUAUAUAAUAACAUAAACACAAACAUUAUAAAAAUAAAAUAAGAUAACGAUAAUAUUAAAAUGAAGUAAUCAAAAAACUAUAUAAAGGCUAUAUGUACAUAAAAAUAUAUAUGUAUAUAUAAGUAAAGAUAAACCAUAGUAAUAAAAAUAAUAUAAUAAUAAUAUAAAAAGUGGAUAAAAUAUAAUGAUAUAAAAAUAAAAUAAGAAUAAAGUAAUAGGUAAUUAUAAAUACAAUAUCAUUAAAAAUGAGAAAAGGUAAGAAAAAGGACAAAAAUUAAAAUAAAAUCGAAGUUAUGGGGCCAAUUUAAAAUAAAAACAAAGAAAAGGAACUUAAUUGUAACACGCGUGCAACUUGGAGGGUCAAAAGCGCAAUAAACCCAGGUAUUAAAACGCUGCGCUGCGUGGGGACCAGAAUGAAUUCGGGGCAAAACCAUGGGGCCAAAUUAAAAAUAAAAAACCCUUGAUUGUAAACUCCCAGAAAAGCGGAAGGGCUAGAAGUGCAAUUAGCCCUUCCAAAGAAAAACACGCGGAUCCUCCCUGGUGCGGGUCGGGUCGACCCGACCCGCUUCCAAAACGACGUCGUUUUUGUUUACUUGGGGGGGACCAAAACGCACCGUUUUGGUCCCCUAUAUAAGUUAAAAAUUUUGUUAUUUUUCUCAUUUGUGCAGCUGAAAGGAAAAAAAAAUAGAUGAGAGAAGGAGGAGAGGAGAAGGGGGGAAAGGGGAGAGCUCCGGCCGGGGGGGUUACCGGAAGCUCGCCGGCGCCGGCGCCGGCCACCGCGUGGUAAAAAUUUGAUUUCUUUUUUUAUUUUUUUAUAUUUUUAUACUUUUAUAUGUAUAUAUGCGGUAAAAUGGAUUUUAUAGCGAAAAUGAAAUAAUAAUGGAGAAAGAAAUAACCUUUAGUUUUUUCUUAACUUCCGAUUCUUUGAUUUUGGUAUUCGAUUGACUUGUAUGCUUUGAACGUUGCUAUUGAAUUCAAACGAUUAAUGGACUGCUAUUUUGAUUCUGGACUUUUUGAUGAUCUUUCUUGUUUUUUGAUUUUUAAAACUGCCAACAAAAGAGAAAGAAAGGCCAGCCCCCCUACUACAUUCGGAUCUGGCUUUUAUAGCCAUUUCUAUACAACAUUUUUUAAAGUUUCUGGCCAUUGCUCCUUGUCGUCUGCUCUGUCUUGGUGUUUGUUUCAUUUUGCAGGGUAUGGAGGGCCAGACGCAUGCGUGGAGAGUGGUGGUGGUAGUGCGCAAGGUGGCCAAUGGUUGGCCGUUGGUGAGAAGCGGCGGCUGACAAGAUGGGAGCUAGGGUUUGCUGCUGAAAUCUUCUAAGCAAAUGGGCUAUUAGGGUUUUAAAAUUUGGGCUCAGGUAGUUUUAGGAUUGGGCUAGGUUGGUUUAGGGUAUUGGGCUAGGUUAGUUGGGUUUUGGGUUUGGUUGUUGGGUUUUGGGGGUGGCCCAAAAUUGGCCUGUACAAUUAUAUAAUACAUGGACGUGAUAAAAUUUGUAUAAUACCUCAAAUAUAAUCAAAAUAUAAAAAACUAACGAUAUAAAUAUACAAAUUAUAAAAUAGAACAUGCCACCCAGUGUGUGUUUUUUUCUCUUUUUUGGUUUGUUGAACUACCAAUUUGAUUUUGCAACUGUGGUUAUGUGUUUAUGCUUGUUGUUAGGUUGAGCGAAGCUCGAUUCGAUUUGAAAAAAUAAAAAAAUUUUGAAUUUUGAGUUAAUCGAAUUGAGUUAUUCGGUUUUUUUUCGAGUCAACUUGAAUAAGUAAUUCAAGUUUCAAGUUCGAAUGGAGUUAAAUUUUACAAUUUGAAUAAUCCAAAUAACAGAUUGGUGUAAAUACCCAUUUAGUCCUUGUCAAUUUUAAAAAUAAGAAAUUUUAUCUCUCUAUUAACAAAAAUUACAAAAUAAUUUUUAAAAUUCAAAAUAUUUAUAAAAAUUCCAAAAUUUAUAUUUCUUAAAAAGAAUAUAACUUUUUUUUAAAAAAUCUAAAGAAUAUAUAAAGAAAAUUAAAAUUUUCUAAAAUUUCUAAAAUAAUAAUUUUGAGAUUUAAAUAAGCCAAUUAAUGAUUCAAAUGUAUUGUAUCUUUUUUUUUUCUUCUUAUUUUGCUUUGAAAAAGUUUUCAAAGACAUAUUGUUUCAAAUUUAUGUGCUCUAACAUGAAAUUAGUUAUACUAUAAUAAGAUUUUUGUAACACCCCAAACCCGGCCUAGACACUAUAGCCGAAUCCAAGAGUGUUCCAUGGAAGGUUUUCAAAAACAGUGUUAUUUUGAUAAAGCUUUGCUUCGUCGUUUGAUAAAUCACCCAAGUUUAAUGUCUAUCACUGAAAGCGUUAUUUAAUUAAUUCAUUUUUUCAAAACAUAAUCUACAGCGGAAGUUUUUAGAAAACAUUGUAUCUUGGAAAUCUAGUUUGUGUGUUCGGAGAAUCCUUUAUUUUUUUGUAAACCAUGAUUUUGGCCGAACGUGGCCAUAAAAGUUUAAACACCUCCAAAACCCAAAAUAAAAGUCAAAUAGUCCAAAUAGCCCAAUUAUUACGAACUUCCUGAAAUAAUCCUUAAAUUAGAUAAAAACCAUAAUCUUAAACAGUUUACGAACUUGUGGUAACUGUGAGGUUCCGUCACGCUGAUCCACCUAAGUUUAUGGAUUACCUGAACAAAACAGAUAAAUAGAUUUGAGUUUUCGUAAAGUCAAUAUGUAACCCAAUAGAAAUAGAAAUAGACAUGCAAUACAUACAGAAAUCUCAUAUAUAGUUAGAUACAGAUUUGGACUUAUGUCCAUUUUAAAUACAGAUAACAGAAUCAAAUAAGCAGUAUAGAUACGCAGAAUCCUACCCCCAUCCUCUACACACCAUCUCCAACCAUCUCAUCACACCAUGUGGGGUUAAAAACGCUCACCCAUCUCUACACACCAUAUAGUGUCGAUGCGACACAUUACAGAAAAUAUGCAGCCAAGUUGUCAGAAUAUAGGCGAAGUGUCGUCAUACAGACCACUUCUUCCACAUAUACAAAACCCACCCUAGUCACAGAUGCAUAAUACAUAUACAAAAAUAACAGAUGCAGUAAUAUCAUGCAUAACAUGCUCAUAUACAGACAACAUAUGUAUAUACUUAAACAGAACAAAUGUACAUAUAUGUAUCCUACACAAUGCAGACUAUCAGAAUAUCAGAUCACAUACAUUAGGGUUUGGUUAGCCCUUACCAACCCUACAGUGGGCUCACAGUCGAUCGGAAUGAACCGUGCGAUCCUAGGGAAGGUUUCAGAAUUUUGGGCCCAAAUUCCCAGAUUGGUCUUGCCCGUGUAACCAACAUGGCCUGGCCCAAAACCCACACGCCCGUGUGGCGCACGCGCCUAGUUGGCCUAGCCCAUGUGGCUCACACGACCACACCCACACCACCACACGGCCGUGUCUUGCACACAGCAGCACCUUCGUUAGACACACGGCCGUGUCUCCCACAUAGCCAACCACACAGCCAAGCACACGCCCGUGUGGCGUCGACAGAGAGCUUUUUCAGCUUUUGCCAAAACCCGAUUUUCUGCGUUGUGGGUACACACCUGGUUCGUUUUUGAUGUUGCAGCACUUCCGAGACCUCCGAAACCUAAAAAAAAAUAUUCCAAAAACAAAUUUAGUAAUCAAUUCACGAAUACCCCAAAACUAAACCGAGCAAAACGCACUCACUUACUGCCAACAAACCCAUUCACUCUCACAGAUUAGACCGUUGAAGUGAAACUACUACUUCAUUGUCUUCUCCUAUGCAAUAGAUUCACAAAAUUUCAACCUUCAGAAAUCAAAAGCUAAAGGAAUACAAACAAACCCCACUUACCUAUUACACGAAAACCCAAGGGUUCGAAACACACAAGAGUAAUGAUUAGUGACAGAAACAAAAAAACGGAGAAAGGAGAGUUUAAUUUUUCGUCAGAGAGCAGAGAAAAAGAAAAGAACAACAAAGGGAAUUUCUUUUUGGGAAAAAGAAGAACGCCAGAAAAUGACAGAUUUUUAGGGAAAAAAAGAAAAAGAAAAAAAUAAUUUAAUUUAAUUUGAAAACAAAAUCCCACAAAAUUCCAACUCCCCACUAAGAAUAUAACCCAAUCUACUAAGGAUAAGGCUAGGAUUAGAAAAAUAACAAAAUUUGCAAAUAUAGGACUUGAACCCAAGACCUCAUACACACCCCCUAAAACACUUAACCACUGAAGCAAACACACAUUUGUGUCAAGUAUUUACAGAUAUAGAAAUAAUUUAAGCGAGGCAUUACAAUUUUAAUUUGACAUGUUUAAUUUUUUUAAUUUAACUCAAAUAAUUUCACUCAAUUAGAAUGGACUCGACUCAACUUGAAUUUCAUUUCACACGACUCAAUUCGAAAAAUUUUCAAAUUUAGUUAGGAUGAUAACAUAUGAAUCGUCAACUCAAAUAACUCGAAAUUUUUUCUCUCGAUUUGGUUUAACUCAAUUCAAUCGAACAUUCACUCUUACUAUUUGUUAUUUCAUUUAAAAGAAAAAGAAAGAAAAAUCUAAUGAGAGUUCAAGAAAAAUCUAAUGAGAGUUCUUUUAAAAUCAUAAUUAUGCCUAAAAAACCCAAUGAGUCGCACACUAAGCAUAGCAAUUAUAUUAAAUGACUAUAGCUGUAGACACUCAAUUUUGCCCGGUCUAUUUCAGUAUUUAAAAUAAUAAACCCAAAAAAAAAAACGAAGUCCAAGUUCAGUCCAGAAUUACAAAUAUAAUUUGGCCUGAUCGGAAUGGCCCAUUACUUGAAAAGAUUUAAGGUCCAUCUACAAGCUUGACUCAUAUGGAAAUAUAAUCUUCAAUGAUAUGCAAUCUUAGAUAUGAUACAAUCUUAGAUAUGAUUGCAAUCUUAGAUAUAAUAUACAAUCUUAGAAGAUAUGAUUUUGUAAUCUUGGAGAUUUAAUUUGUAGAUAUCCUUUAAUCUUAACCGUUGAUGUAAUUGAUCUGUAUCGUUGGAUUUGGGGAGGCUCAACUAUAAAUAGAGGCCUCUCCCUUCAUUGUAAAGGGACUUGAGUUUUGGGAAGCAAUAAGAAUUCUUGAGAGCAUUCACUCAAAUUUCUCUCCCUCUUGCGUUCUUACUCUCUGUGGUUUGUUCUUAUUUUAUUCUUCGUCUAUCUUAGUUUUUCAACCCUUUUUUUAUUUUAAUUUCUUCAUUUUUCAAAUAUGUAUAUUUUUUCCUAUCUUUUAUACAUUUGAUUAUGUAUUUUAUAUAUCAUAAUAUUUAACCUUUUUAUAUAGUUUAUUUUCAAAUAUAUAUUUUCUAUGCAUGUAUAUAUAUUAUAUAAUCGUUUCAUUAUAAAUAUAAAUUCUUUUACAUAUUUGAUAUUUUAUACAUUAUUUUUCUAAACCAAUAUAUAAUAUAUUUUUUAUAUAAUUAUUAUUCUUAUAAAUAUAUUUUUUAUUAUAUAUUAUAUUUUAAAUUUAUUAUUAAAUAUCACAUUUUUUUAUAUGCUCAUUCUAUUUAUCAAUUGUUUAUAUUAUACAUAUAUUUUUAAAACUUAUGUUUUUAUUAUUAUACAAUAUUUGUUUUUACUUUAGAAUUAAUGUAUUAUUGUUAUGUUAUGUAUUUCAUAUGUUAUGUAAUAUCUUAGACUUUUAUAAUUUACUUUCAAAUGUAUAUUUUUAUAUAUGUACAUUGAUAUAUUGUAUUAUAUGCAUCAUUUCAUUUAUUAAUCUAUUCAUGUGUACAUUAAAUUAUUGGAUUGUAUAUUUUAUAUUUUAUGUAGAUUAUGUUUAUCCAUUUGCUAUGCAUGUCAUCUAUUUUUACUCAUACAUAUUUUACACAUUAAUAUUUACCAUAUUUUUUAUAUUAUUUAAUGUUUUAUUUAUGAUAUUGUAUAUAAUUAGUGCAUUUAUUAUGCUUUCUUUUGGGUAUAUUCCUAUUUGCUUAGCAUGAUUAUUUUUAUUAUUCUAUUUUACCCUCUAUAUAGUGAUUGUAUUUAUAUAAAGUGUUAUAAUACUUUGUAAUAUACGCUAUUUGAAUAUCUAUGUUUCUUAAUAUAGAAUUGUUACUCUAAAAGGUCAUUUAAAACAAUAUUUAAAAGUUUUAUAAAAAUAAAAAAGACAAUGCUUAGUAUUUGAAACCUUCGAGAAAAGUAGUGCCCUAACCUAUUGGGUUGCAACUUUUCUCGCUGAGUUCGAAUAGUAAAGUACCCUUCUAAGUUUUUAAGAUUUUCAAAAUACGAGCAACUGUCAUGGAAUUUCAAAGCGUUGUGUCCUAACUUAUUGGAUGUGGCGAUUUGUCGUUUCGAGAUAGGGAUUUCCAAAAGGUUAACUUAGUGUCAAUGUUUUGAUACGAGUGAACCCAAAUUUUCAAAAUCAAAGUAUUUUAAAGAGGAUUACAUCUUAAAAUUUUUUAAAUUUCUGACAUUAAAGACAUUUGAUAAUCAAUUAGGUACCAAUUUUUGGGCGUUACGAGGGUGCUAAUCCUUCCUCGUACGUAACCGACUCCCGAAUCCGUUCUUUUAUUUCGUGGACCAAAACUAAUGAUUUUAAAACAAAAUGUUUUAAAGGUGAUCCAAUCACACCUAAAAAGAUUGGUGGCGACUCCCGUUUUCGUUUUUAAAAUUGAUUCUCAUUUUUCAAAACUCGAUUUGAAAAUGGUUUCGACAAUAGCACUAAUAAUCAACUCAUCGCGUCGGAUUAUAUCAAAUGACUAUGGCACAGAUAAAAUUUUGUUUGAUAUUCUUUGAAUGUUACAUGAAUUAAAAAAAAAUUUAAAAUUUUACUAUUAGCAUUUAUAUUAUGUAUAAGUUGCAUAUUUAAGCUAUAUAUUUUAAUUUGGUUAAUUUUAGUAUUGUACUUUUCGAAUUUUGAAAUUCUAAUUCUUAUUUAAACCAUAACAAUUAAAUUCGUUAUGUCGAAUUCUGCUAUUAGUCUUUUACUAUGAGCAAGUAGUGGAUUUAGUAUUUAUUUUUCAAUUUGAUUAUUUUCAAUUAAUAUAGUUUUAUAAUUUUAUAUUUUCAAUAAUGCCUCAAAUGGUAGUCAUAUUAAAUUCAUUAACAAAAAUAAUGUGGCUUUUGUGUAAGUAUUAUGUGAAAAUAGGAAAUGGACAUAGCAUUAGAAAUGUGAUGCGAUUAAAAUAUUACAACACAUUAACAUAAGUGACUAAAACGUAACAUUUCAAACAUAAAUGACUAAAAUAUAACCUGAAGAAAACAAAAGUGGCUAUUUUAAUAAUUUAUCUUAUAAAUUAAUAAAUCACAUAACUAUUUCCAAAACCUCAACUAGUGAAUUAGAAAUAAAGACCAUGAACAAGGUUGAAGUCAUCUUAGAGGACAAAACUGCAAAUCUAUAUGUGCUAGCCAACACUGAAACGGGCACUUCAUUUUAGAAAAUUCUUUUACUAGCAUGAUAUAUAAUAGAUUAAUUAUAACGUAGAAUCAGAUUAAUAUAAUGGAUGAAUAAUCAUAAAAGCUUGGAUGAAAAUUAAAAAGAACUAGACAAAACCUAUAGUCAUGGCGUACACACAUGUUGAGACUGAAGAUCUACACAUUGCAAUUACGAAUAAUGAGAUUCAAAUCUAGAUACUCAAAUACCCAAGAUCUCUGCCUUGAUCAACAAUGCCAAGCUCUAAUUUGUUGAAUAUCAAUACCAACUUGUUGGAAAAUAUGUUUUGUUAAUGUUUAUUGUUGUACGAAGUUUAGCUUUUGUCUUUAGUUUUUGGAUACUAUGUUUAGUUUAAGAAUUUUGUUAGUAGGGGAAUAAAUCUCACAUCACUUAAGAACAAAAGGCAAAGGGUUAUGAGUUUAUAUAAAAUCUCAUAUCUUACUUUGCUUCGAAAAACAAUGGUAGUGGGACCUUGGGUCUAUAUAAUGAUGACUUAUUUUGUAAGUAUUAUUUACACCAUUUGGUUUUUUCUAAUUCCUUAUUGUUUCUUAUUUUGGAGUGUUGGGGAGGUGUAGCUAAAUAUUAGUUUAACAACAUUGUGGUCGUGUGUAUUCUACAAUUGGCAUUAGAGCUUGGUUAGAGGAGUAAAAUUUUUGUCAGUAUGCUUUGUGGUUGCAACAUUUGUCUGAUCUUCCACAUCAAAAAAGAAAUUAUAGCUACUUGGAGAUUGUCCUUAGCUGCUUAGUUAUUGGUACUUAAGAGUGUCUGUUGUGACCCACAUUUCUUUCUUGGGAACUACUAGGUGCAUUGUUCAUGAACUACUUUUACUAUUUAGGUAUUCAAUUGUAAGAAUCAUCUGUUGAUAUGAUGACGGGGCUGCAAGUUGUCGGCGGAAUGAAGAAGCCUAAUAACAACUAUUAUACAUGGUUAACUUGCAUAAUGUCUUAUAUGCAAGGACAAGAACUUUGGGAGGUUGUCGACAGUAAUGAAGUGAUGCAACUGGAACCCGAGGAUGCAAGCAGCAUGCUAAGAAAAUGGAAAAUAAAAUCCGGUAAGGCAAUCAGGGGCAAAGCCAGAACAAUUUUUUAGGGGGGCCGAAUGAAAUUUUAAUUUUUAUAUAGUCUAUGUCGAAACCUUUUUUUUGAAAACGGAGUCGACAUUGGUUUUGAAGAUGAAAAACGAAAAUUGGGAGUCGCCACCAAUCUUUUUUGUUUAGGUGUAAUCGGAUCACCUAGAAAUUUGGUUAUUUUAAUAAAACAUUUUGAUUUCCUAAAACAAAGAUUAUGGUCUACGAAAUUUGAGAAAACUGGUUCGGGAGUCGGUUACGUACGAGGAAGGAUUAGCACCCUCGUAACGCCCAAAAUUGGUACCUAAUUGAUUAAUUAAUGUCUUAAUGUCGAAAUUUAAAAACUCGAAAAGAAUUAAAAAUACGAUCCUCUCUUUUUUAAUGUUGUUUUUUACGAAGAAUUUGCUUGCGUAAAUCGAAAUUGAUGUUAAAGACUUUCUUGUCUCGAAGUAAUAAAAUACCACAUCCAGUAAGUUUGAACACAAUGUAGACACUCAAUUUUGUCCGGGCCCAGAAAUAAGUCCAAAAACAAAAAUAUAAUAAACUCAAAAAAAAACCGAAGUCCAAGUUCAGUCCAGAAUUACAAAUAUAAUUUGACCCGAUCGGAAUGGCCCAUUACUUGAAAAGAUUUAAGGUCCAUCUACAAGCUUGACUCAUAUGGAAAUAUAAUCUUCAAUGAUAUGCAAUCUUAGAUAUGAUAUGCAAUUUUAGAUAUGAUACAAUCUUAGAUAUGAUUGCAAUCUUAGAUAUGAUAUGCAAUCUUAGAAGAUAUGAUUUUGUAAUCUUAGAGAUUUAAUUUGUAGAUACCUUUUAAUCUUAACCGUUGAUGUAAUUGAUCUGUACCGUUGGAUUUGGGGAGGCUCAACUAUAAAUUGAAGCCUCUCCCCUCAUUGUAAAACAACUUGACUUCACUUGAGUUUUGGGAAGCAAUAAGAAUUCUUAAGAGCAUUCACUCAAAUUUCUCUCCCUCUUGCGUUCUUAUUUUCUACAGUUUGUUCUUAUUUAUUCUUUGUUCAUUUUCUUUUUCAACCUUUUUUUUAUUUUGAUUUAAUCCCUAUUUCCUUGAUUUUUAAUUCUCUUUUAUAUUUUAUUUUUUUAAUAAUUUUAGUAUUAUAUCAAACUAUUUUUUAUUAAAUUCUAUAUUAUUCAUUGUUUUAAAAAAUAUAUUUCAUUUAAUUGAAAAAGUUUUUCUUAAAUAAGGCAAUGUUUGGUGUUUAGAAAUUCAGGAAAUAGUGCCCUAACAUGCUGGGUUGCGAUUUUUCGUUUGACUAAAUAACCAAAUAUCCUUUUAAUAAAUUUUCAAAAUCAUGAGAUAAUUUUAGUUACGAGGAUUUAAAACAUCGUGUCCUAACAUGCUGGAUGUAAUGUUUGUAUACUUUCGGAACAAAGGAAUCUCAAGUUUCAACUUUAAAUUGUUCAAGUUUUAAAAUCUUUUCAAAUUUUCGACAUUAGGACAAUAAAUAAUCAAUUCGGUACCAAUUUUAGGCGUUAUGAGGGUGCUAAUCCUUCCUUGUGCAUAACCGAAUCCCGAACCUAUUUUCUUGAAUUUCUAGACCAAAAUGUUUUAUAAAGGUGAUCCAAUUACACCUAAAAAGGUUGGUGGCGACUCCCAUUUUCAUUUUUCAAAAAGUCGAACCCCGUUUUUCAAACCCCUUUAAAAAAUGGUUUCGACACACAACAUUUUAAAACCUCGAGAAUAAGCUUGUCUUUUGAUUUUCAAAAUUCAUGCGUUUUAAUUUUAAAAGGAUAUUCGAUUAUUUGGUUUAAACGAGAAAAAUCGAAACCUAGUAAGUUAGGGCACGUUUUCUCGAAUUUCCAAACACGAAAUAUUGUCCCCUUUUUUUAAUGAAGAAAACAUGAACAUAAUUUUAAAAAGGAUAUUUGGUCAUUUGGUCAAACAAAAAAUCGAAACCCAGCACAUUAGGGCAUGAUUUCUUGAAUUUCCAAAACACAAAAUAUCGCCUUUAUUAAAGAAUUCCUUUUAUGAAUUUUGGUGAAAGUUGGUGUAUCAUUUAAAAUGAUGUAUACUCGAUUUGUUCAAGUAUGCCUAAAACAUAAAUUUGCAUUCAAUAAGCAAUGAUGCAAUAUGAAUUUAAAAUGAACCAAUAAAGCAUAAAACUUAUGAUAAUAAUAGAAAUAACAAUAAUAUACAUAGUAGUUCCAUAAUAAUAAUAAUAAUAAUAAUAAUAGUAAAACAUUAGAUAUACGAGUGACACGUAUGAUCUAAUUUUUUUAAAAUAUAAAAAAAAAGGAAUGAGUAAAUUAGUGAAAUAAUAAUGAUAGAAUAUAACAAAGCAAUAAACAUAUACAAUCGGAAUUUUUAAGUAUGAAAGGGGGAUGUAAAUAAAUAAACAAAUAGAUGAUGAUGGAAUAAUAAUGGAUAAUAAUAAUAAAUAAUCAUAUAAAAUAAAAUGAACUUCGAAACAUGCAAAAAUGUAUGUAUAAAGAAAUAAAUAAGUGAUAAAAUAAAUCAUAGUGAGUAAUAAUAAUAAAGAAUUUGGGUUGUACAGUCUAUGUCUAUAAUUUUUAAAGGAUUAAUGUAACAGCUUAAUUUUCAGUGGUGUCCGGAAUAGAGAUUUGAGAUCACUAAAUCCGACGAGUGAGUAGAAAAUUUAAUAAAUUAAUACCUAUGAGUCAAAUGUGAAUAUAGAAGUAUUUUUGAAUUAGUGAAUUUGGUGAUUUAAAAUAAUUAAUUAGGUAAAUUGGGUCAAGAAUGAGGUAUCGAGACCUCAACUUCAUAAACCGAGUCAUAAAUAUUUUUAGAAAUAUUUAUGAAGUGUUAGUGAGGUAGUAUUAAAAUUUUGUCAGAAAAUUUUGACGUUUGGGUGGUUAAUUAAAUAAAAAGAACUAAAUUGAAAAAGGUGUAAGAGUUGCUAAAAGGAUUAAAUAGCUCAAUUGUCAAAUGAGGAAGGACCUAAAGUGAAAAUAAGCCCAAAGGAGAUAUUUUGGGCGGUAAUAGCUAAGAAAAAUUCAGGAAAAGGGUGAAAGAAGGGCAAAAUUGGAAAAUUACCAAAAUUAGCUAAUUAAAAAUGGGACCAAAUUGGAAUAUCUACAAUUCUCUUCAUUUUUUCUUCAUUCUUAUCAGAAAAAAUGCCAUAGGAGGGGUUCUAUAUCCUUUUAUUCCAUAAUUUUUGCACCAAGUGAGUUAAUCCUUGCCUUUUUCUUAUAAUUUUUGUGUUUUUAAGACUUUUACAACUAGGUCCUACUAUUAAAUUCAUUAGUUUUUGAUUUCAUGGAUGAAAUUGAAAGUCAUCAUGGUUGAUUUCUGUAAGUUUAUGAUGAAAUAGCAUGAAAUUUAAGCUUUAAUUUGUUUAUGAGAUGAUUUUAUUAGGUAAUUUCAAUAGAAAUUGAUUUUUAGGACCUAAUUGUGAAAAUGUUUGAAAUUAAAGUCUAGUGCUGAAAUUCUGAUUUCCAAAGGUUAUAAAGUAAUUUAAAGUGAUAGAAUAAAGUGUUAAUUGAGAAAAAUCAGCUCAAUUGAGAGGCUAAUUGAGUAGGGACGAAAUUAUUAUUUAUUAAAAGUUUAGGGGAAAAUGGUAACAAACAUCUUGCACUGAAACAGUUUUGAACAGCAGCAGUAAGCUAACUUUGAAAAAUCACCAUAAAUUUUAGAAAUCGAAUUAGAAGAUGAACAAAAUAUGGAAUUAAAUCUUAUUGAGUCUAGUUUCUCAUAGAAGAAAAGGUGUAAGCAAUGGAAUUGUAAAUCAUGAGAUAUAAUAAAUUUUGUAAGACAAGGUCAGAAUGAAUUUGGGUUCCCCUGUUCUUAUUUUGAAAAAUCAUAAAAAAUUUAAUAAAAAUAAUUAUGGGUUUAAAUUUAUAUUUUUAGAAUCCUGAAUUAGUCUAUUUUCAAUAGAAACAAACGGGAACAUUAUUCAAAUCCUGUACAAGGAGAUAAUUAAUUUUUAGUGAAGAAGGUUCGGAACUAUCAGACAGCAGAACAGGGGUGAAUUUAAAGAAUAAACUGUACUUAUUGGUUAAACCAAAAAUUAUUAAAAUUUUAUGGUAAGAAGAUACGUGAGUCUAGUUUCAAGGAAAAUUAGUGGAUCUUAAUUUGGAGUUCUGUAGCUCAAGAAAAAAAUAAUUUAGUGACUAUGACACGGAUGGAUAGCUUGAAUAUUCACAUAAGUAAAUAGUGAAAAUUAUGGAUAAUGUUACUUACAAGUGUGUUAUUUAUACUAAGGAUAUGGAUGGAGAGGAGGAGGAGGAAAAUAUACAUAUAUAUAUAUGAAUGGCUUGUGUAUAAAUUGAUCACAUGCCCGAUUAUAAUCGAUAAAUGUUGAAUUAGAAAUGAUAUAAUGUUUUAUUUGGAAUAUUUAUUAUGAAAUUAUGAUUAUCGCUAUAAUACAAAAAUCGAACUUGUGAGUUUAUAUAAAUAAAUUUUAGUGACCAUUUGUUAAUAUUAUUAAAUUUCAAUAUUAUUUUAUGAAUGGUGAUUAAUAUUUAUGUAUGUUAAUUGUUGAAAAUAAGUAAAUUAUGUACAAAAGUUAUGAAACUGAAUUGAGUAUUUCGGAGGAACGGAAUGCAGGAAAUGAGUACGAUCUUUCAGUGAAAAAGAUGAAUUGACGGUAAAUUACCCAAGUAAACCGAGAUUCAGCAUUUAUUCUGAAUUCUCGUGUUUGCUUUCCAUUUAGCUCUUACGAGAUUUCGUUAACUUAUAUGAGUUUCAGUUAACCCUUUUGGGGUUUCAGUUCAGCUCGAUGAGCUUCAGUUAGCCUUCGGGCUUCCGUUUAGCACUUGUGUGCUUCAGUUAGCCUUCAGGUUUCCGUUUAGCACUUGUGUACUUCAGUAGCCUUCGAGCUUCCGUUUAGCACUUAUGUGCUUCAGUUAGACUUCGAGCUUCAGAUCACGAUGUACUCAAAUCUGUAAGCCGUUCCUUGAAUGGACAAGUUGGUAAGUCGUAAAUGUAACGUGUGGAAAAAGAAAUGUAAGUAAUGUUAUCAUUAUUAUUAUUGAGCUCAAUUAUGUGAUUUCGUCAUUUAGAGAUUGUGUUUGACAGGAUAUGUUAGUAAAUUAUGAGUAUGUGAAUCAAAGUGACAGAAUUUAAAUACCUAAUGAGGUUGAGCUCAUUCACAUGAAUUUUUCAUUUGAAAUUGUGAUUGACAGGAAGAAACAGUGAAUUGCAUGCUUAUGAAUGGUUACACAUAAUUAUCUGAAAAACAAGAAAAAUGACGGUUAUUGAUAUAUGGAGACAUGAGACAUUGAUAUAUGAAUGUGGAAUAUGUUUGAUAAAUGUGUUCAUUCAUAAUUAUGGAAUUAUGUACCUCACGUGUGCUAUUUGCAUAAAGAUGAUAUUUCAAAUACUUUGGUGAAUAAAGCUUAACUAUGGAAUAGUAUGAAAUCGAGACAAGUUGUUAUGAAAAUAUAUUUAAAUUAUCUGUAAGUGUUUCAUACUCCUUGGUAAUGCCUCGUACUCUAUUCCGGUGACGGAUACGAGUAGGGGGUGUUACAAUUAAAUCAAUUUUUUAUAAUUUUAGGGGGGCCAAAGUGCAAUUUUAUCUUUACUAAUUUAAAAUUUUAAAAAAGUUAAAGGGCCUAAAUGGCAAUUUUUAUUUUAAGGGGGCCGGGGCCCAUGCCAGUCCCUGCUAGAGUCACCUCUGAAGGCAAUGUUUGCCUUAAAGACACUGAUUGAGGAGGAUGUUUGAACGGAGCAUUCAUGAAAGGGGAGGUUUGAACAACCACAACAAUAAUAAAAAAAGUCAUACCCCACGUUGCUUAAAAAAACAAGAAUAGUGAGAUCUCAUGUCUAUAGAAAGACCUAUGUUGUAAGUAUUAUUUCUAUCAAACUAAAUAUUGAAUUUUCUAUGUGGUUUCUUCUAAUAUUCUUUUUGUAUCUUAUUUUGGAGUAUUGGGAAGUGUAGCUAAAUAUCAGUUUAGCAAUACCGUGGUUGUAAGUGUUCUACAUAAUUCGCAUAUUAAUUUAUGUCAAGAGUUAAUUUGUGUAUGUCAUUUUGCUUUGAUAUGUACUUAAAUAAUUUUUUUAUUUCAAGUGAAAUAUAAAUUUAUGUUAAGAUCAAAGACUUAUUUAGAUAAAAAUUAAAAGCUGAAAAAGAUUUUUUUUUUUUUGUAUAUUGUUCAUAUUUAUUAUACAAUUCAUAUUUAUUUUAUAGUCUAUAUGUUUGGAGUUUGUAUCUGUCCCUCUUAAAAAUGAUAAAUUGACACUUUCUAAACAAUCUUUUAUCAUAUUAGGUUGAUAAGCAAUUAAUUUACUCAUAUUAUCAUAGUAUAUUAACAAAUUGGACCCCCUACAACCCUAGCAUUCGUUUAACAAAUUUGCUAUUUUUUAUUUGUUGAACUAUUUACCAAAUGAUGAAACUUAGAAGACAAUUAAACUAUUAAAGUUUGUUUACUCACAAUGGACAUAAGAAAUGAAUUAGUAUUCCAAAAUUAAAUUAUUUAAAAUAAUCAUUUUAAUGCCUUAUUUAAUUUUGGAAUGAAUUUUUUGUGUUUAAUGUAUCAUAAUUUAAAAUUAAAUUAAAUUAAUUAUUUAACACAAGUAAAACAAUAAUUUUAAUGUAUUAUUAUUUUUAUAUAAAUAACAUUUUUUUUUAUAUUAUACGAUAAAAACCACCCUAAACGAUUUUUUAAAAGCCACGUGGAAAUUAUAUGACUAAUAUACAUUAUAUAUGAUAAACAUUGAUUUAAUGAUUACAUCAUUCGUUCGUUAAUGAUUUAAUAUCUCGAUGAUUUAAAUCAUUAAAAAUGGUCAACUACCGGAUGUUGCAAUAAAAGAUGAUGCUUGUAAUAAGACAAGGAUAUUAAUCACAAUAGAUGAAAUGGGAUGGGUAGGGGAAUGCUAGAUAUUUUCUUUAAUGAAAUCUUCGCAUUUAAAAAAAAUAUUCAUACCAAAUCCUAAAUAAAUAAAUAAAUAAAAAGGAAAACUUUGUAUAUAACUACAAAUUUAUUUUGAAAGUAUACAUGUAUAAUAUAUAGAUGAUAACAAUAAAAUCACACAAAGCAACUUUUAUAAAUAAUAUGGUCUACAAGUGAUUCAUGAAAUGAAUUUAAAUAUGCUAAUCAACACAUGAUUCAAGAUUUUGGCAUGGUAGGCAAAUCAGGCAAAUUAGGGCGGUCCUUGUUUAGGUGUUUCCGGCUUUAGUAGGUUGGGUAAUUUAGGUAUUUCUGGUUUGGGUAGCUCUUGAAUUUUGGGUUCUUCCGGUUUUGGCAAUUCGGGAACUUUUGGUAAUUCAAGUUUUGGUACCUCAGGAACUUUGGGCAAUUCUGGUUUCGGUACCUCAGGAAUUUUAGGCAAUUCUGGUUUUGUUAACUCGGGAAUUUUUGGUAAUUCAGGAGCUUUGGGCAAUUCUGGCUUAGGCACCUCUGGAACUUUAGGCAAUUCCAACGUCGGUAACUCUGGAACUUUUGGCAACUCGGGAGCCUUGGGUAAUUCAGGCUUGGGCACCUCGGGAACUUUAGGCAACUCUGGCUUUGGCAACUCGGGAAUUUUUGGUGCUUCAAAUUUUGACAAUGUAGGAGCUUUGGGCAUCUCAGGAACUUUAGGUAAUUCUGGCUUUGAUGACUCUGGAACUUUGACUUCUUCAGGUUUUUUCAUCUCGGGAACCUUAGAAAAUUCAGGCAUUGGCAACUCUGACACUUUUGGAAACUCAGGAUCCUUAGGUAAUUCAGGUUUUGGCAACUCUGGCACUUUCGGAAACUCGGGAACCUUAGGCAAUUCAGGUUUUGGCAACUCCGGAACUUUAGGCAACUCAGGCAUUUUAGGUAUUUCGGGUUUUGGAAUUUCUGGCAAUUCAGGACUUGGAAGUUCAACCUUUGGGAAGGACGGCAUAGAUGUCUCCAAAAGACGCCGAGCACCAACCAAGACUGUGUUGCUGCUCAUCAAUGACAAAGUGACGAAUAAAAACGGUAGCACAAAGAAAGGCAAACGACGGGAAGCCAUGAUUAAGAAAAUCAGAUGGGAGAUGACAAGAAGUGCUUCAAAAUGAAUACUUGAAGUGUGCUUGUUUAUGCAAUUGCAAGAGAUGAUGAGCGUUUUAUAGGUAUUGGGAAGUAGAGAUUAUGUGGGUGUUUGGUGAGAAAUUCUACAUUUUGUUAGUUCAACUUCUCACCUAUUCAUUUCUAAAGAUUAUAUCAAAUAUAUUAACUCCCAUCCUAUAUAAUUAGUUGUUAAGUAAAUUUAUUAAGUUGUCAUCACUUUAAUCAAUGGCUUUCAUCUUUAUAUUGAUUUGAAUAAGCAAUUAAUAUACUCAUGUUAUCCUAUAAUUCAUGUUUAUUUUCUUCAAAUAUUGCUGGGGAUUUUAUCUUAAAACAUGCACUACACAAUAUUUUUUGUUAAUAUUGAUUACGAUACGAUUUUUUAAAAUAAUUACAUAUAAUAUUAAUAAUAUAAUAUAAAUAUAAUAAAUAUAUGAACGUAAUAAAAUUUAUAUAAUUUUUAAAUACAAUCAUAUAUAGUAUAAAAAAUAAUAUAAAUAUAAUAAAUAUAUGCCACCCAGGAGGUUUAUUUGCUAGGUUUGUUCAACUAUCUACCACCAACUUGCUCUUGCAGCUAUGAUUAUGUGUUUAUCUUUAUUUUAAAAAAAAAUUAAUAGACGUAGAAGAAAAAUUGAAAUAUUAAAGUUUGGUUACUUACGGUGGACAUGAUAAAUGACUCUAGAAAUUUAGAACAGGGUCGGUAAUAUCAAUAAUAAUUAUCACAAAACAAUAAGAAAUAAAAAUAAGAAUAUGUAGAUUUUACAUAAAAAAUCUUUAUAGGGAAAAAAUUACGGAUAGAAGAGGAAAAAUUUACUAAUGUUGAAAAAUAACAAUACAAGAUAUUUGCAGCUAUGCGCAGUUUUUAAGGGUUAAAUAACUUGUCUAAUUGAAAAAUAUAAUUCUAUACGGAUUCCUCAAUUUUGCCUCUCUAUUUUGUUUUUUUAACAAGUGAAUUGCACUUCGAACUUUUCAGAUUAAAUCAAAUGAAAUACUGAAGAUAAAUAAAUGAAUUUUUUUACUAAGUUAAACCAAAAAUUAGUAUCCCUUAUAAUUUUUGGAUCCCCUCAUAUUUUUUUUGGCACUCCCUCUGUUUUUUUUUUUUUAUAUUCCCUCAAUAUUUUUUGUAUUUCCUCAUAGUUUUUAGUACUUAUUCAUAAUUUUUAUUAUUCGCUUAUAAUUUUUGAUACUUUCUUAAUUUUUUUUAUUUUCUCAUAAUUUUUAGUAUUUUCUUAUAUUUUCCGGUAGUCCUUUAUAACUGUAAUUUUAGAGUAAAAAAAUUAUGACAGAAUGCUAAAAAUUAUAAAGGAAUACCAAAAAAAUAUAAGUGGGUAACAACAAAGGCAUGUGCCAAAAAAAUAAGUACCAAUAAUUAUGAGAUAAAAUAUUAGUUCGUCUUAUAAAAUUUAUUUCAUUUAUUUAGUUUUUCAAAAAUUUUAAAUUUAUUAGUAUAUAUAACAACUUUUAUAAGUAUACAAAAAAUAUAUAUAUCAAAAAUUGAUUUUUCAUGUCAAAAUUUAAUUUUGAAAGUAUAUAAAAAAUUGUGAGAGAUUACCAAUAAUUAUGGAGUACUAAAUAUUAUAAGAAAGUAUAAAAAAUUACUAGAAAAUUUAAAGAAAAAAAAAAUGGGAGCUCAUAGGAAGCUCACCUAGAAUUCCCCAUCAACAUGAGACAACCUUAACCCCUCAAACACUUCUAACCCUAGGAUCAAGAAAGAAGCAUGUCAUAUGACCUUGCUUGUCAUGUCAUGUCUUCUUAGACUAAAAGUGAGUUGCGAAUACCAGUAUGCAGUAUGCUCAACUUUGGUUAAAGCUUUCUCCAUUUAUUCAGAGGGUAAUAUCUUCAUACGAUUGUCCCGACAUGCACCGAGGGACAAAAGUCGAAACAACAUACAUUAGAACAUUUAAAAUGUGCAACUGACCUAGAUUUAAUGAUUAGAAUAACUUGUUGGGCUGUUCAACAUUUAACCAAAAAGUUAGAUUCUCUCUCCAUGAAUGUUGCAAUAAAAAUAUGAUGCAUGUAAUAAGUCAAGGAAAUUAAACACACAACAAUUCAAUCCCAAAAAAAAAAUAGCUGCACAUGGGUGAACAGGGGAAUGUUGAUUCUUUCAAACACCUUUUAAAUAUAUUUUUAUAUCUGACAUUUACACUCGAAUCUGAAUAAUGCCAUACUAAUUACCAAUUAUUAAUAUAGCAAGUCCUUAAAUGAGGGCAUAGAGUUCGUCAUACAAUAUUGCCAUGGGCUAAAAUUAUUAACAUACUAGCAAGUCUGCAUUUCGCUACAACUAGAAGAUAAAACUGCAUACUUAAAUAGAGUCGUACAAUUUCGAUUGUAAUUCAUUUGUUUCAAGUUAAGUACUUAUAAUGAUUAAAUUAUUUAUUCAAUUUAUUCAAGUUAAGUACUUAUAAUCUUAUGUGAGCUUGUUUUUGAUUGAUUCAAGCGCUAUAUUUACUAACAUCAUUACAUGCUUUGAAACAUUCAAGGGCAUUAUGUCUGAUAAUAUUACCACGGCUAAAGAAUUUAGGAUCGACAUUGAAAAGAGAUUUGUCAAGACCGAAAAGAUAGAAAUUGAUACAUUCUUAGCAAAUCUAACUUCAAUGAGGUAUAUAAGAAAAUAAGAAAGUUGCAUAUACUACAUUACAAAAGAAACAACAAAAGGAGUUAACUAAUGGCUAGUUUGGCAAUGCUUUUGAGAAGUGCUUUUGAGAAGUGCUUUUGAAAUUUGAGUGUUUAGUAUUAUUGUCAAAAAGUACUUUUAAGAAAUAAAAUGUCUAUUUUAAACAUGAUAUUAUAAAGUAACAAAUAUGCAUUUAAAUAAUAUUCAAAUUAGUUAAUAUUAUGAUAUUUUAGCAAGAAUAUAAAAAUAAUUUAUUAUAACUUAUUGUUAAUAUUUUAAUAUAUAAUAUUAAUUUUAAAUAUUUUCAAGUAAUUAAUAUUAAUUAUUUAUUAAAUUUAAUUAGACAUGGUAUUCUAACAUUGUUGGGAGAAGACAAAAGUAAGGUUAAAAAAUGUAAAUAUCAGCCAAAAGCACUUUUGGAUGAGAAAAAGUUAAAAUUUUUAACUUUUUCAUCUGUCAAAAGGUACUUAUUUUAAGUUAAAAAUUUUUCUUAAAUGAUGUUUGUUUGGUAAUGAUUUUAAGGGAAAAGUGCAUUUUAUUGUAAAAGCUCAUCUGAGAAGCUAAGCAGAACCGGCCCUAAAGAUGGUUGUUUCUCUUGUGGUGUGGCAAUGCACUUCUUAAUUUUCUUUGUUUGAGGUUAAUUUGAUUUACCUAGACGCAUUUAGUGGAUAAAUUCUGGUGCAACAACUCACAUUAGUGUAUUUAUGCAAGGCUGUCAGAACUAUUGAAAGUCUAAUAAUGGUAGAAGAUACAACUAUGUAGGCUACAAUAAUUCCGUAAUAAUUCGGUAGAAGUUGAAGCAAUAAAAACUUUUAGGUUAUUAUUAAUAAUUAGAUUUUAUUUGGAUGCAAAAUAGUAAUAUAUAUUAUUUUAUAUAAAUAAUAUUUAUUAUAUGAAUGAGAAACACUUAUAUUAUAAAAAUGUAUCAAGUUCUUUAACUAUUCACAUAAUUCUUAAGAGUUACUUUAUUGUGAAGAAAUUAAUGGGAGAAUUUAAAGUUAUUUAUGUUAUAAUAAUAUAUUGUUACUUAAUAUUUAUAUAUUAGUAUAUUAUAUCAUAUAUAUUAUAUAUUACAAGGUUGUGGUUAAUUAAGGAAAUAAAUAUAAUGUUCACAAUUUUUUUUUAAAGAUAUAUGUUAGGUCUAAAAAUAUCAAGAAGGGAAUAAAUUGGUAUUUUAAAUUUUUUUUCAAACUUUUCUAAAUGAUAAGGAAAUCGAAGAAAAAUUUGGAUAAUUCAAUUUAUAGUUGUUCGGCCCCGAUUGUCUAUUUCCACUACCUUGAUAUACCUUAACAAAGGAUUUCCCAAUUCACUAUACUUAAAUAUUUUUCUCUUGAUCUUGAUGCUUGAAUAUCACUCUCUUGAGUCUUGUAGUGUUCUUGAAGUAUAUUUAUACUAAGAAACAAAUUUUUCAAUGUUUAUGGCUACUGGGGACGAAAUCUAGUCAUUUGAAGUGUUAAUUUUGGGCUUAAAAACUAUCUCUACACAUGAUGUCUCGAGACCUAGCAAGAUGUCUUGAAACAAGGUUGAAAAAUAGUCAUUAUAUAACUGUUGGCAGGCCAUGUCGCGAGACAAUAUGCUAAUUGUCUCUAGACAUACUACACAAUGUUUCAAGAUAGACAACUCCUGAAGCAGAUUUUUGCUUCGAAAUUUUCAUGUCUUUAGACGUAUAAUCACAUGUCUCGGGACUUGCUUGCUAAAAUCCCUUAAAAACAUUUUAAACACCUUAGAAUACUUUGGUAUUAAUCCAAAAACAUUUAGAUAAAUUAAAACACAUUUAAAAUAUGUUUUUGAGUAUUUUGCUAGUCUUUAAAAAUACAUUAAAAAUGUUUGAUACAAUUUUCAAUCAUAUUUUCACUAAAUGAUUUAGCACAUUUAAUAUAUAUAUAUAAUUUGUCUUAAAUGUUAUUAUAUUAAAAGCUUGCGACAUCAAAGCUAAUAAUAUAGUAGUCUCCAUCUCAAGCACUUAUAUUAUCAAUCUCAAAUUGACUAUAAAACACUUUCAUAUCGCAUCCUUACACUAUAAGUUUCUUCACCAUUUACAUAAUUUAUUUAAAAAAUUUUCAUUCAAAGAAAUUCAUAAGUGAAGCCUAUAAUUUAAUUUUAUUCAUAUAUUAUUUAUAUAUUUUAUUUUGUAUUUAUAUUAUAUCAUAAAAACAUUAGUUUAAGCCCACUUAACUGACUCAUAUAUGGUCUUCUUGGUCUCUCCGGAGACAUUCAUGUCGAUAAGUCAAGACAGAUAUUUCCAUGAUUACACCUUGCUGGCUUUUCGACCUCAUUGGUGCUCCUCUUCAGUUUUUCGACGUCCCUCUAAUGACGGCGACUAAUGAAAGUAGCUAGGGUUUGGUUAUUUCUGAUAUUUGUUUCUAGGGUUUAUGUUUGUUGAAGUUGAGCUAUGGUCCAUUUCAAGCCUUUCGACUUCUUUUUUUUUUUUAGGGAGGGUGUUACUGUAGGCCUUUUUUAUGUUUGUAUUUGUCCUUUUCUUUAAUGAAAUCUUUGUAUUGAACAAGAAAAAGAGCAUGCCAAAUCCCAAGUAAAAAAAAUUAAACUUUGUGAAUAACUAUAAAUUUAUUUAGAAAGUAUACAUGUAUAAUAUAUAGAUGAUAACAAUAAAAUCACUCAAAACAAACAUAUAUAUAUAAUCUGGUCUACAAGUGAUCCAUGAAAUGGAUUUAAAUAUGCUAAUCAACACACUCUUAUAAGAAAAAUAUCUAAAAAUCAUAUGUUUAUUGUUGAGGGAAAACAAACAUAGUACCAUGAUUCAAGGUUUUGGCACGAUAGGCAAAUCAGGCAACUUAAGGCAGUUCUUGUUUAGGUGUUUCCGGCUUUGGUAGAUUGGGUAACUUAGGUAGUUCUGGUUUGGGUAGCUCUGGAACUUUAGGUUCUUCGGGUUUUGGCAUGCUAGGCAAUUCAGGAACUUUAGGUAAUUCAGGUUUUGGCAACUCAGGAGUUUUGGGCAAUUCUGGUUUCGGUACCUCUGGAACUUUAGGCAAUUCUGGUUUUGUUAACUCGGGAAUUUUAGGUAAUUGAGGUUUUGGUAAUUUAGGAGCUUUUGGAAAUUCUGGCUUAGGCACCUCAGGAACUUUUGGUAAUUCAGGUUUUGGCAGCUCAGUCGCUUUGGGCAAUUCUGGUUUUGGUACCUCAGGAAUUUUUGGCAAUUCAGGAGCUUUGGGCAAUUUCUGCUUAGGCACCUCAGGAACUUUAGGCAAUUCUGGCUUUGGUAACUCAGGAACUUUUGGUGAUUCAAGCUUUGGCAACUCGGGAGCUUUGGGUAAUUCAGGCUUGGGCACUUCAGGAGCUUUGGGCAAUUCCGGCUUAGGCACCUCAGGAACUUUAGGCAAUUCUGGCUUAGGCACCUCAGGAACUUUAGGCAAUUCUGGCUUUGGUAACUCAGGAACUUUUGGUAAUUCAGGUUUUGGCAACUCAGGAGCUUUGGGUAAUUCAGGCUUGGGCACUUCAGGAACUUUAGGAAAUUCUGGCUUUGGUAACUCCGGAACUUUUGGUGCUUCAGAUUUUGACAAUUUAGGAGCAUUGGGCAUCUCUGGAACUUUGACUUCUUUAGGUUUUUUCAACUCGGGAAUCUUAGGAAAUUCAGGCUUUGGCAACUCUGGAACUUUCGGAAACUCAGGAACCUUGGGUAAUUCUGGUUUUGGCAAUUCUGGAACUUUCAGAAACUUGGGAACCUCAGGCAAUUCGGGCUUUGGCAACUCCGGAACUUUAGGCAAUUCAGGUUUUGGCAACUCAGGCAUUUUAGGUAUUUCAGGUUUCGGGAUUUCCGGCAAUUCAGGCUUUGGAAGUUCAGCCUUUGGGAAGGACGGCAUCUCAGGCAACUCGGGUUUAGGAAUCUCCGGCACAGAUGUCUCCAAAAGAUGCCGAGCACCAACCAAGACUAUGUUGCUACUCAUCGAUGACAAAGUGAUUAAUAAAAAGGGUAACACAAAGAAAGGGAAACGAUGAUAAGCCAUGAUUAAGAAAAUCAGAUGGGAAAUGACAAGAAGUGCUUCAAAAUGAAUACUUGAAGGGUGCUUGUUUAUGCAAUUGCAUGAAAUGACGAGGCUUUUAUAGGUAACAGGAAGUGGAGAACAAGGAGGUCCUGUAGAUGUUUGGUGAGAAAUUCUAGAUUUUGUUAGCUCAACUUCUCACCUGUUCUUUACUGAAAAACUAUAUCAAACUAUGACACAUACAUUUGACCACCAUUAUGAAGUUGGCAUCACCCUAAUCAAGCCUUUGGUCUUUAUAUUGGAUUGAAUAAACAAUUAAUGUACUCAUAUUAUCAUACUAAAUUAACAAUUGUUUAACACCUUAACUCUGCUUUAUUUUCUUCAAACAUAAGCUGGGAUUUUUUUUUUAAUUUUGAUUACGACACGGUUAUAUAAAAUAAUUAGAUAUAAUAUUAGAAAAUAAUAACAAUAUAUGAACGAAAUAAAAUUCAUAUAAAAGAUUAAUUUAAAAAUUUAUUUGCUACGUUUGGUUUGUUCAACUAUAUAAUACCAACUUUUUUUUGCAACGAUAAUUUAUGUUUUUUGUUUCUUUGUUAUUUAAAAAUAAAUUAAUGAAAGACGUAGAAGAAAAUUAAAAUAUUAAAAUUUGAUUACAUAUAGUUAGAGGUGAUUAUGUGUUGGUUCCGCUCCAACUUCAAUAGAAGUUUAGGCCCAUUUUUUAGGCCCAGGUAUGGUUCUGUCUGAAAAAUGGGCUUAAAUUUUUACCCAAGUCUGGCCCGGAUAAAAAUACUAAAACUGGAGCCCGUCCGUAUUAAAUUUUUUUAUAUAAUUAUUUUAAUAUAAAAAUAAAUUUAAAAAUAUAAUACAUUAAAUACACUUAAAACAUUAAAAUAAAUGUUUUCCAAUAAAUUGAAAAUAAAUUAAAAAUUUUAUUUGUAUUUAAAUAACACUAAGAUAGAUUCAACUUAGCAACCAAAUACCUCUAAAAUAGUAGCAAAAUUAAUAAUAAAAUAAGAGUUAUACAACAUCCAAAUAAGAUCAAUAAAAUAGUAGCAAUAUAAUAACGAAAUGACACCAAAACAAUGACAAAACAACAGCAAAACCAAUGGAAAUAGCAGAAAAAGCAGCAGAUUUUUUUUUAAACAAAUUCGAGUUGAGCUUAGGCCAAAAAAAAGCUUACCUAAAAGCCGGCCUGUUUAUUGAUAAAUUUAUAGAAUUACAGUACUGAAAAAAAAAAGAAAAAAGAAAAGAAAAGCAAUAUAUAUGGUUUGUGGAAUGAUUAUAUUACGCAUGAAUUGGAUGUUAUUGAAUCCAUAAAAAAAUAUGUUUUGUGUGCUUUUAUGCUAAGAUUAUUGAUAAAUUUUAAUGGAUUGAAUUAUGAUUUUUUUGUUAAAUUGGUUUGAUAGACAUUUAUUGAAGGUAUUAUCUUUUUUAUAUGAAUAUAUAUUUAAUUUUUGGGUUUUUUGAUAAUAAGUGUGUAACACCCCUUACCCGUAUUCAUUGCCGGAAUAGGAUACGAGGCAUUACCGGAGUUUACUGAACAUUUUCAGAUAAUUUUGAGUCAUUUAUUAUUCAUAUUUUGAAAUAAUCAUAACAUCUCUCUAUUGGGCCCUCGAAGCCCAAAACAUACAUUAAAAACCAACUGGAAUAAAAUCGAGAUCAUAAAAAAUUUCGCAAAAUCUUAAAUUAUAUUUUCAUCUAAGUACUUACCAUUUCAAUGCUCCUUAUAAUUAAACAUGUUACCAUUCAAUCAAUAGCUUGGCACUUGUCUAAGCGUCAAACAACAACAUUGUUAGUAUACUUGCACAUAUUUCAUAUAAAUUCAACAUUGAUAUACCUAUUUUCUCAACAUAUCACACUUGAGUUUAAUAAUAGUCUCAACUUACAUAAUUUCCUUGUAUCAACAUAUCAAAGAUAAUUAUAUAUGUACAUGUCACAAAACAUAUUAUUAUCUUACUGUUUCUUCAUAAGCAUAUAUCAUUCAUUUCGUUAUAUCAAUAUUUCAUGCACCAUCAUUUCCUUAUAUCUUGUAUAUAUUUAUUUCGGUAAUAGUUCGUAUUAAACUUAACAUAAAUUAAAUUCCAUGUACCUAUACUUAUUUCAUUUAUCUAUCUUUUUAAUUAUUUCAUACAACUAUUUUGUACAUAUAUUUCCAUAUGACCAAUUCCUGUAAACAUUUCACACAACCAUUUCAUAUAACCAUUCCAUCUGAUACAUAUUACCUGAAUAUUGAUUGUUCAAUAGAUAUCUUGGUGUUUCUCUUCCUCGAUCUUAUUUAUUUUCGACAUGAUGUCAUAGUAUCUUUCAACUAUGGUUUUACUCGUUUUCUGUCAUGUUGCCAUGGUAUCUUUCAACCAUUGUCUUAUUCAUUUUCCCGUCAUGUUGCCAUGGUAUCUUUCAACCAUGGUCUUACACAUUCCAUAUCAGAGAGCACACUCCCGCGAACCUCAUCCUUACAAUGGGAUUACCAGUCCAGGCUAAAUCCCCUGUAAUAUAAACUCAUAGAGUAUUGUCGGGAUUACUAGUCCAGGCUAAAUCCCCUGCAACGACAAUUACUCUAAUGAGCUUGGAUCUGAAUUACCAGUCCAGGCUAAAUUCAGACCCUAAUUCGGAUUACCCGUCCGGGCUAAAUCCAUUUUCCACAUAUUCUUCGGGAGGGCUAUAUCAGGAUAGGAUCACCCGUCCGGGCUAGAUCAUUUUUACCGUCAAUUCCUUUUCAGAGAUCCAUCUAAUUUUCCUUCCAUUCAACCAAGAUUUUUUCCCCUUUUUUUUUCAAAUAUAUCAAUGUUUCAUAAAUUUCCAUAUAAUGAACAUUCAAAUCAUAUUCAUAUAAAAAAAACAUGCAUUUCAAGCAUUUAAGAAUAUAAUUCAAGUUACACGAACUUACUUGGCGAAAUUGCAGAAAUAUAAAGAUUAAGGGGCAUUUUGGUAAUUUACCAUUUUCCCAAUUUUCACCCGAUCUUAAAUUGAAAAUUUCAUUCAAUUUAUUAAUUUAGAUAAUAAAAAAUUCAUUCCCUUCAAUUGGGUCAUUUUUGACAUUUUUACAAAAUUACCCCCUGAAGUUUUACUUUUAUUCAAUUCAGUCAUUAAGCCUAAAACAUGCAAAUUAGCCAUGCUAGCUGGAUAUUCAUAUAUAUUUUCCUCCUCCUCUUCUCCAUUCCACAUCCUUAAUGUAUAUAACACACUUGUAAGUAACAUUAUCUAUAAUCUUUAUUAUUUACUUUUAUGAAUAUUCAAGUUGUCCAUCUGUAUCAUAGUCACUAAAUUAUUUAUAUCUGGAGCUAUAUAACUCCAAAUGAGGAUCCGAUAAUUUUCCCUGAAACUAGACUCAUAUAUCUUCUUACCAUAAAAUUUUCAGAAUUUUUGGUUUAUCCAAUAAGUACAGUUUAUUCUUUAAAGUUACCCCUAUUCUGCUGUCUAACAGUUCCGACUCUUCUUCACUAAAAAUUAAUUAUAUCCUCGUACAAGAUUCAAAUGAUGUUGUCGUUUGUUUCUAUGGAAAAUAGGAUCAUUAAGGAUUCUAAACAUAUAAAUUUAAACCCAUAAUUAUUUUUAUCCAAUUUUUUAUGAUUUUCCAAAGUCAAAACAGGGGAACCCGAAAUCAUUCUGACCUUGUCUCAUAAAAUUUAUUAUAUCUCAUGAUUCACAAUUCCAUUGCUUAUAUCGUUUCUUUUAUAAGAAACUAGACUCAAUAAGCUUUAAUUUCAUAUUUUAUUCAUCCUAUAAUUUGAUUUAUAAAAUUUUUGGUGAUUUUUCAAAGUUACACUACUGCUGCAGUCCAAAACAGUUUUAGUGAAAAAUGUUGAUUUCCAUUUUGCCCCAAAUUUCACAGUUUAUACAAUUCAGUCCUUACUCAAUUAACCCCUCAAUUGAGCUAAUUUUUCUCAAUUAAUACUUUAUUCUAUCAUUUUAAACUUCUUCAUAACCCCUAAAAAUCAGAACUUUAGCAUUAGACAUUAAUUCCAAACUCUUUCUUAAUUAUGUCCUAAAAUGAAUUUCCAUCAAUUUUACUUGAUAAAAUCAUUAUAUACCAAAAUUAAAGCUUCAAUUCUAUGAUUAUUCAUCAUAUUAUUUCAGCACUCAUCCAUAAAAACUUUAAAAAUUAGCCAUGGAAUCAAAAACUAAUGAAAUAGUAAGUUGGACCCAAUUGUAAAAUUCCAAAAUAUAGAAAUUUCAAGGAGAAAGCAAGAAUUAAACUUACAUGAAGCUAGAGCAUGAAAACCAUCUUGAACCCCCUUCCAUGUCUGUUUUUCAGCUGAUGAAUAUGAAGAGAAAUGAAGAGAAUUCUAGAUAUUCCAAUUUAGUCCCAUUUUUAUUUAGCUAAUUUUGGCAAUUUUCCAAUUUUGCCCUUAUUUCACCCAUUUCCUGAUUUUUCUCAGCUACUGCCGCCCAGAAUAUCUCCUUUGGGCUUAUUUUCAAUUUAGGUCCUUCCUCAUUUGACAAUUGAGCUAUUUAAUCCUUUUAGCAACUUUUACACAUUUUUCAAUUUAAUCCUUUUUAUUUAGUUGACCACCCAAACGUCAAAAUUUUCUAACGAAAUUUUAAUACUACCUUAUUGACAUUCCUUAAAUAUUUAUAAAAAUAUUUAUGGCUCGGUUUAUAACAUCGAGAUCUCGAUACCUCUUUUUCUCAAUUUCUUGACCAAAUAAAUCUUUAUAAAACACAAUUUACUAUUCCAAAAAUCUUUUAAAAACUAUAUUUGGCUCGUAAAUAUUAAAUAAUAUAAUCUAUGAGUUCAUUUGUCAGAUUUGAUGGUCUCGAACCACUAUUUUCGGCAUCGUUGAAAUUCAGGCUAUUACAAAGUGUUUAAAAAUUUUGAUUUUAAGUUUGGUUUUAUAAAAUUUUGUUUUGAAUUUUAAUUGUAAAAAUCGUGAUGGUUGUUUGUUUAAGUAUUUAGAAAAAUAAUCAAAGAUUAAGGUUCGGUUUCUGAUUGCAUCAUUUAUAUAACCUUAUUUUGAGUUAUUUUGGAAAUUAUAGUGUGAUAAGAAAUUUCAAUUUUGACAUUUGAUUGUUAUAGAAAUUUUUAAAUUUAAAUAUUGGUAUGUUUUAUAUAUAUAUAUAUUAAAAUAACUUAAUUGAAGGAAUAAGUCGCCAAAGUGACCUUUGUUGCAGAAAUUAUUUUGUUUCGAAAUAUAAAAAGGUUAUGCACAUAUAACUUAAGUUAUGUUAAUAUUGAUCAAUCUAAAAGAAAGUUAAUAUUUAACAAACAUGUGCAACUGGGGUAAUAAAUAGAGGUGUGCAUGGGCCGAGCCGGGUUCGGGCCGGGCCCAUAAAAAUUUUAGCCCGUUUUUAAGGCCCGGGCCCGGCCCGGGCCAAAAUAUGGGCCUAGAAAUUUGUCCAAGCCCGGCCCGAGGAAAAAAAUGGUAGGCCCGAGCCCGGCCCGGCCAUAUUAAAUUUUUUUUUCUUUUUUUAUUAAAUAAAAAACUUUAAAAUAUAAUAAAUCAAAUACAUUUAAAACAUAAAAACAAAUAUUAAAACAAAAAACAAAUAAAAAAUAAAAAAUAAGACUAAAAUAAUUCUUAAAAUAAUACAUAAAUUAAAAAUAAAAUAAAAAGUAAUUAUAUUAAAAUUGAAAAAUUGAAACAAAUUAAAAUUAAAUUAAGAACUAAAUUAUAUUAAUAACAAAAGUUUUACAAUAUUAAAAUAAUAUUAAAAACAACAAAAAGAGUAAAGUAAAAUACUAAAGUUACUUAAAAUUAAAAAUAAUUUUUUUUAAAAUAAUUUAAUAUUAAAAUCGGGCCAGGCCGGGCCGGGCCCGGGCCAAAAAAAUCUUACCCGAGGCCCAGCCCAUUUUCUAAAUGGGCCUCGUUUUUGUCCAAGCCCAUUUUUCGAGCCUAUAUUUUUACCCAAACCCUCUCAUUUUUCGAGUGGGCCGCCCGGCCCAUGCACACCUCUAGUAAUAAACAUGUGACAAUUAUUUGAUUUUACAUGUGAGUGAUAAAUCGACCCAAAGAAAGAUUUAUUGUUCGACAUGUUCUUAUUGACAAUUUUUAAUUACUACAACAAGAUAUCACUUACAAGUUAAUAUUUUGUCCAAAGAUGAAAUAUUAAUAGAGUGGUUGGUAUCUUAAUAUGAGAUUUACCUUUAUUCAAAUUAUUUUUGUUUAAAUUUGAAAUCUUAUGUGAACUUGUUUUGAUUGAUUCAACUACUAUACUAGCCAACAUCACUACAUGCAUUGAAACAUUUAGGGGCAUUAUGUCUGAUAAUAUUACCAUGGCCAAGGAAUUUAGGAUCAACAUUGAAAAGAGAUUUGUCAAGAACGAAAAUGUAGAAAUUGAUACGUUCUUAACAAAUCUGACUUUAAUGAGGUAUAUAAGAAACUAAGAAAGUUGCAUAUACUACAUUACAAAAGAAACAACAAGAGGGGUUAACUAAUUAUGGUUGUUUCUAUUUUGGUGCGAAAGUGCACUUCUUAAUUUUCUUUGUUUGAGGUUAAUUUGAUUUUGAUACCUAAAUGCACUUGGUGAAUAAAUUCUUGUGCAACAACUUGCAUUAGUGUGUUUAUGCAAGGCUGUCAAAACUAUUGAAAGCCUAAUGAUGGUAAAAGAUACAUCUACGUAGGCUACAAUAAUUCGGUAAAAGUUAAAACAAUAAGGACUUUUAGAUUAUUAUUAAUAAUUGGAUUUUAUUUGAAAUUGAACGAUACUUUCGUUAUACCAUCCUUUAGGCGGAACUUGAUUUCCAUAUCAACAUUGGAUAAAUUUAGUUAUUCUUGUUCAUAUAGAAAUUGAAAUUUUAGCCUCUUUCAUAAUUUAAAUUUGGUUGGUUCCAGUUCUUUAUUAGGUUAUGAAAAUUUAUAUGUAGUAGCCAAUUUUGGCCCAGACCAACAAACAAACAAAAACAAAAAACAAACUAACUAAAAUAAAAGUCCAUUUUUUUAGUCCAUUUACAAUAUAUGUGUGGCCCAAUAAUUUAAAACCCAUUUCAGACCCAAAAUGCAAACCAAACCAGCCCAAAUCCUAGCCCAUUAGCUAUCAAAAUUUUCAGCAAGCAAACCCUAGCCCCUUCUUCAGCCGCCGCUCCUCACCAUUGGCCACCUCGUGCAGCACCACGCCCCUGACCAUCGCCUCUUCCACGCAUCGCAACACCUGCAACCAAAUCAAAAACAGUAGCAAAGAAAGCACGCAAGAAACAGAGAAAUAAAUAGCAAAAAACAAAAAAAAAACAGAAACAAAAGGAUUUUGAUUUCAGCUAUAAGAGCCAUUGGGAUCUCUCUGUAAUUUUUUUACGCGCACAAGUAAUUCAAAAAAAAGAAACAGAAGUUAAACAAGGUUGAUUUGAUUUUCUUUUUUUCUUUUUUUUCUUUUGCCUUUCAAUUUCUUGUUUAUUUUUCUUAUUUUUUAUUUGUAAAUCUAUUUUAAAAAUUAAAUAUUAAAAAGAAAAGUAGAAACUUACCUGGACUGCCCCGGAGUCGCGCCAUCGGAGCCUCAUCUCCGUCGAUGGAGUCAAUUCCAAAAAUGGGGUAAAAGGAUCUCCUUCUCUCUCAUUUUUGGGCUAAAAAGAACGUGGCCCUUGAAUGGCUUUGAAAUGGGGUUGAAGAACCCGUCCUAUGCGGCUCUAGCCACCGCCCACGGUGGAGUCAAGACGACGGAGGCGAGGAUGGGUUUCAAAACCCUAGUCGCAAGUGAGAAAGGAAGAGGGAGAGAAAGCAAAGAUGUGACAGCCCUAAUUUGACUCUAGUCGAGAAGUGGUUUCGGGACCAUAAAAUCGAGUCACAAGAAUAAUUAAAUGUUAUAUUUUAUGCCUAUUAUAAGUGAAAGUGUAUGUGUGAAAAUUUCAUGCUUUGAUUUUGUCUUUUAAAUGUGAAAUUAAUUAGAAAGGACUUAUGUGUGAAACUUUGGAAAUGUGAUAGGUUAAAUGGUAGUGGGCAAACAAUGCAUGGUGGAAAAAAAUGUAGACUUGCAUGUCAAAUUCCCCACUUUAGAGGAAGUGGCCGGCCAUGAUGGUAUGGGAUACAAAAUAUAUGCAUUUUGUAUUAAUAUUAUAAUGACUACAUGGUUUUAUAAUAGGAAAUAAGUAUUAAAAAAAAAGAAGGCCAUACAUCCUUGCCUUGUUCAUGCGAAUGUUUGAGAAAGAAUGGAAAAAAAUGCUUUGAGGAUUUCGGCAAUGGAGCAAGCUCAAAAUCUAAGGUAGAACAAAAGGGCUCUUUGAUAUUUGGCCUUGGUGAUUCUAAUUGGAGGUAUGUUUAAUUUUAUUUCUUGAUAAUUUAUGUGAAAUUGAGUUAAUUGCUAAGCUCCUUUCAUAGCCCAUGACUCAAUUUUUGUUAUUGGUUUGAAGUGAUGCAUUCGGCUAUGGGUUGUAGAGUGUCUUGGUUGGUGUUUUGAUGUUUUUGUGAUGAGGCAUGAAGAUGGUUGAUUUUAAGUGUUUAAUAAAAAGGAUUGGAUAUGAGUGUGUGUGAAAUAGCAAAUGAUGAGUCUCGGUAACUUCAUGAAGAGUUCGGCUAUUGUGUUUAUGUGAAUAUAUAUAUGCUGAAUGUAGUCUUGGAUAAGUAAAUUUUGAUGUAUUAGAUUGGUAACAUGGUUAUGCCGAUUGUGAAAAUGUGAUAAAGGUGCCAAGAAAUAUUUGUAAACAUGCAUAGUACCGAAUGUGUUCAUGAAUGAAUAAGUUAUGUGGGUUGUUUAAAUGAAAGAAAUGGAUAAGUUAAGGUAUAAUUGAGUGUUCGAAUAUGAAUUUAAGAAGAAUGAUACAUUCGACUAUGCUUUGAUGUGCUUGGAUUGUUGUUCAUUGAGUAAGUGAUUGAGGAAUGGUUAGAAGAAUUUGAAUGCUAAACUAGUUGAUUUGUUUAUAAUGUCCGAUUAUGAUCAUUUAUAGAGAUGUGAAUGAAUUGUUGUUAUGUGAAUAAAUAUUUGUUUGAUGAUAUAUAUAUGUAUUCGGAAAUGGGAUAAAAUGUGUAUUAAGGUAAGUUUCAUGGUGAUUAUGCUUGUGAUGUUGGGUUAAUAUUCGGCAUUGAGUAAUGUGGGGUAAGGUGAUUAAUCGGCUAUGAAAUUAGCUAAAUUGAAUAGGUAUGUUUAAUGAUAUGCUUAGUGUAAUGUAUAAUCUUAUAACUCGGUUUGGUAUUGAGAUAAAGAUUAGAUGUAUGAUUGGAUUUUGGUAUGUGUUAAAUUGGUUAAUCAAAGAUUUAAUAUGACGAAAUGUUAAUGAAUAACAUAAUUGGUUUGCACCUUAAAUAGUUGAAUUAAAGCUUGCCGAUUAUGAUUUAAUGUUUAAAUUGUAAUGGUCAUAUAUAGGUAUAUAUAUAUGCCUUAUGUAUGUACCAUGUACACAUAAGGACAUUCGGCAAUAUGAUUAAAUUCAUGUAUAAGGAAGCAUGAUAAAUUAAGUGACUCUUUGUUUGUGAAUGUGAAUUAGAUAUAAAUUAAAUAAGCAUGAAAUCGAGUCAUGGCAUGUUUUAUUAAAUAUGAUACAUAUUGAAAUCUAUUGUUUUAGAUAUAGAUUAAAUGAUAUGUGAUUGCCAAAUGUGAUUGUUAAGUGAAUAAUAUUAGUUAAGUACUUAAGCAAAUCUAUUGUUUUACUUAAGCUUAAGAGCAAAGAGGAUCAAAGUCGGAUAGGGGAAAAGAGAAAGUAAACGAAUAGCCGUGGAUAUCUAGUCGUCGACCACUUCCGAGGUAAGUUUUAAGUGAUUAAACGUUGAGUAAAUUCAAUCAUAAUAGGACAUAAUGAGUUGAUUUAAUAAGAUAUGAUGUGGCCAUGAUAUGUCUUAAACUCAAAUGGUAAGUUCAUAAGUGUUUGGACUUGGAAAUUUAAGAGCAAAUCGUAAUAAUUUGCUUAGGACAGCAGCAGUAACGUGAUUUUAGAAAAUAACUAUAAAUUGUUGGUGUGGAAUUAUAGGCUGAAUAAAAUAUGUAAUCAAAGCUUAAUUAGUCUAGUUUCUUAUAAAAGAGACCGUGUAAGCAAAUAAAUUUCCUAUAAAGAGAUAUUUAAAGUUGUGUGAGACAGUGUCAGAAUGACUCAGAAAUCCCCUGUUCUGUUUUUAUAAAAUCAUUAUAAUUUGUACAAAAAUGGUUAUAAGAUAAAAUUUAUAUGCUUAGACUCCUUAAUGAGUCUAGUUUCAAAUGAAAUCAAUUAGAACAUAUUUUGAAUUCUGUACAAUGAUAAAUUUGAUUCAUAGUGAAGAGUGGUCAGAUUAGUCAAACAGUGAAACAGAGGAAACUUUAAGAAAAAUCUGGUAUUGAUUGGCCAAACCUAAAAUUCUGAAAAUUUUAUGGAUGAAAGAUAUAUGAGUAUAUAUUCAGGGAAAAUUAACGUCAAUUGAUUUGGAGUUUUUUAGCUCCAGUUAUAAAUAAUUUAGUGACUAUUGCUCAGGAAAACAGCUUGUAGUGAAUAUGUGAUUUUGUUGUAAACAUUGAUGAAACUAUUUGAGUUGCUUAUAAGUCAUUGCUGAAAUUGAUGUACAAGAUAAAUAUGUAUAUGUGGUAAAGCCGAAUGGCUAACAUGAAAUAUGUAUGAGAUAUAUAUAUGUGGUAAAUCCGAAUGGCUAAUGUGAAGUAUGUAUGAGAUAUGUAUAUUUGGUAAAGCCGAAUGGCUAAUGUGAAAUAUGUAGGAGAUGUGUGUAUAUUGUGGCCGAAUGACCAAAUGUGAAAGGUGUGUAUUAUUAGAUAUUUGAUGAGGCAAAUGAAUUACAAAUAUGACAGUCGAUGUGAAUGUUGUAACAUGUGAUUAAAUGUACAUGAAACUUGGAAAUAUAUUCCGGGUAAGACCCGAUGACUACGUGUGGAGAUUAUGUCCGGGUAAGACCCGAUGACUACGUGUGGAGAUUUUGUCCGGGUAAGACCCGAUAACUACGUGUGGGGAUUAUUCGAGCUAAAGGUCUCGCUGAAGAUCCGAGUAAAGCAUAAAAUUAUACGACUUCACAGUAACAAUUGGUAAUAAAUACGUUCAAUGCGUUAAGUUGGUCAGGUAUGUAUUUUGAGAUUAUAUUUAAGCUUGAUUUGGAUUAAAUCACAAGGUUGUUAUGUGAUGCAUAUGUGAGUAAAGCAAUAAGACUGUUCUAUGAUUAUUGUGAAUUUGGUCAAUGUGAAAAGUUAGGUGAAAAUAUGUGAUGUACCUAUGUUUAUAAGAGAUCACUAUCAAGUGAGAAUUUAUCUGCUUAUUGUGUAUUACGUAAUUGUGUAUAUUCGGCCAAAAAGGGUAGUAUACCUAGAAAGAGGUUAUAUGAGAAUUCGUAAGAUAGACUUUUAAUUUGGUUGGUCAGGUAUGUGAUAAAUACUUGUACAUGUUAGACCCAUCAGAAUUAAAUCAUGAUUUUAAAGUGAAAAGCAAAUAUGAAAAUGCCAUAUGAAUAUGUGAGUAUUCGGUUAUGGAGAUACUAUAGGAUAUUGGGAGAUGUACAUUUUGAUUUGUCCGAUGAGGAUAACUAUAGAUAUGAAAUGAAAUGUUAUAUGUGAAUCAAAUAAACCAAUUGGUUAUAUUUAAGUUCACUGGUUUUAAACUGCUUAAGACUUACGAAGCUUACAAAAGCUUACUCUGUUGUUAUGUUUCUCUGUUUUAUAGAUUGUUGAUUCUGGACUUUUUGCUCGGGGAUCAUCAGCAACUUGUCACACUAUCACUAUCCACUGUUUGGUACUGCUAGGUUUUGGAUUAUCUUAUGGCAUGUAUAGAAUAGACUAGUAGUGGGAGGAUAUUUUGGUCAAUGUAUAUAAGCCAUGCGAAUACGACAUCUUUUGAAUGUUUACUUUUAUAAGUUUUUUUUUAAUUUUAUCACUGGUUGUGUCUAGCAAUUAUCUAAUUGAAUGAUCUUUACUUCAAGAAAAUGUUCAAAAUUUUACUGAUCUGGCAUGAGUUACAAGUCCGGUAACAGUUACGGGAUAGGGGUGUUACAAAAGAAGCUCUCUGUUUUGUUUUGUUUUUUUUUUAAAUGGGGGGCUGGAAAUGAAAUUUAAAAAAAAAACUUGGUUUAAAUAAUAAAGUCAAAACGGCGCCGUUUAGAGAACUAGGUUUAGAGGCCAAAACGACUUCAUUUUGGGCCUCUAACCCGUGCGACCCGACCCGCACCCACGGAGGAUCCGCGCAUUUUGACAGAAUGGUCUAUUUGCGCAUUGGAUCCCUCCGCUUUCUUAGCACGUUUUAAUGUGGUCCUGUGCCACCUUUUUAUUUCGAUUUUUUCCCCAUAAUUUUGUCUCUAUUUCAACUUGGUCCUCGGGCCAUUUGCAGAGGCAGACCUUGAAACGCUACGCAUAAAGGUGUUGGGAAUAUUUCCCAAUCAGUCCCUCAAGGUUGCAGCUCAUUUUAAAUCGGUCCGUUGCUUCAUUUUUUUUGCCCAAAUUUUCCCUUUAAUCUUAUUUAAAUUUUGAUUUCGUCCUUUUCAAAUGCUUGCAUUAUUUUAUUCGAAUUUGGACCCUUGAUUUUCAUUUUAUUUGUAAUCUAACCCUUUUUCAUAUAAAUUUGGACUCUUUUUUAUUAUUAGUUAUUUUAGACUAUUUUAUUUAUUUUAAAUUUCAUAUAUUGAACUUUUUUAAAUUGUUUUAGAUACAUUAUUUUAAAUUAUUUCAUAUACUAUACACUUUAAAUUGUUUUGUACAUUGUUUAUUUUAAAUUUGUUUAAUGUAUUAUCCAUUUUAAAUUGUUUUAUUAUUUACUUUAAAUUUUUUCAUGUAUUAUUAAUUUCAAUUUUUUUAUAUGUUUAUCUAUUUUUUUUAUAUCCCAUUUUUUUUAAAAUGCUUUGUAUAUUACUUAUUUUAAAUUCCUUUCUUGAUAAUAUUUACUUUAAACUCAUUUAUAUAUUAUUUAUCUUAUAUUAGUUUACAUAUCAUUUUUUUAAAAAAAAAAUUCUCAUAUAUUAUUUAUUUCAAAUUUUCACCUAUAUUACCUAUUUUAAAAUUUCUUAUACAUAUAUUCUAUUUUUAAAUUGUUUUGUACAUUGUUGAUAUUAAAUUUCUUUUUUUACAUUAAUUAUUUUAAAUUCAUUUCUUAUCAUUUUAAAAUUUAUUUUACCUUUUAUUCAUUUUAAUUUGCUUUAUAAAAUUUUGUAAAAUUGUUAUGUAUUAUUUAAUUCAUUUAUCUUUGAUUAUUAAUGAUUAAUAUUUAAAUAAUGUAUGUUGUGUGAUUAUUACCAUUGUGUAUUUUAAUUCAUUUAUUUCAUAUUUUUGCAUUAUUGUUAUUCAUUCGUAUAAUGUUGUGUUCAUGUAUCCUUGCUCUAGACUCAUUACUAUAUUUCUAUUUCAUAUCAUCGCCUCAUGAAUCUAGCCUCGUUGCAUUUAUCCAAUAAAUCGUUUUAUUUUAAUCCAAACAAAUAAUACCACGUCGUUUAAAUAUCAGAUUCGCUAUUAUUCAAAAGCAAAAAUUUCAAAAUAAGGCAAUGUUUUGCGUUUUGGAACGUCGAGGAAUUGUGCCCUAACUUACGAGGUUUCGGUUCUCUCGUUGAUUCUAAAUAGCCAAAUAUCCUUUUGAGAUUUAAAAUACACGGAAUUUCAAUUAAAAUUAAAGACAACUUUGCGCUCGGGAGUUCAUGGUAUUGUGUCCUAACUUACGGGAUAUAAUACUCCGAUAUCUCGAGACAAGGAAAUCUUUAACAAUCAUUUUGAGCUAAUUCAAGCCUUUUAAAAUCGACAUUAACAAAGAAGAUCGUAUUUUAAAUCUCUUCCCUUCUCGAUUUUCAACUUUCGAUAUUAAGACAAUAACUAAUCAAUUCGGUACCGAUUUUAGGCGUGACGAGGGUGUUAACCCUUCCUCGCACGUAAUCGACUCCCGAACCCAUUCUCUUAAGUUUCGUAGACCAAAAAACUUCGUUUUAAUAAACUAAAACGCUUUAUUAAAACAAGGGUGAUCCGAUCACACCUAAUAAAGAUCGGUGGCGACUCCCAUUUUAAUUUUCAUUUUUAAACAAAGUCGAUUCUCGUUUUCAAAAAAAUGGUUUCGACAAUAUUUAAUUAAUAUUAUUACUUCAUUUAAAUGAAUCCUUGCAGAGAAACACAAAUUAACUGCUAAGAAUUUGGCUUCGUUGUAACACAAGAGAUUAGGUUAUAUCUCAAAAAGGAGAACUGAGAGACUUGUGUCCAACAAUAUUUUUGAUCUCUUUGAUUUUUUUUCGAGUACUCUAAAAGAUAUAAAGGUUACAAAUUUUAUGAUCUUACUACUAAGGUUAUUUUUAAGAUAGAUAAUGCUCGUUCUUUGAUGAUGUUGAGUUUGUAGGGGAAGAGAGAAUUAAAGACAUUGUAUUUAAAGAAGAAUAUGUUGAUAUUCCUCAACGCAUUCUUUUAAUUGUUAUUGAUAAAGAUCAUGAACACUUUGUUAUACCUGAUAUUGUUCAAGUAGCAAAUUUGGAUCAAGACAAUGUCAUUGAACCUCCCGGUCAAGUAACAAACUCUACAACGUCAAGAAUGAAUGUCAUUAAGAAAGCCUACUAAAGAAAGGGUUAUAACGGCUUUAGUGACAUGUUUUGACUUUGAGCUAUAUCAUAUGGAUGUCUAGACUAUGUUUCUCAAUGGCGAUAUUGAUGAGACAAUUUAUAUAAUGCAACCAAAAAGCUUCGCGUUCGAUGAUGUAAAGUCAAUGGUUUUCGAAUUAAAAAAAUUCAUUUAUGGGCUUAAGUAGGCCUUUCGUCAAUGGUAUUACAAUAUUCACCAAGUGAUUAUCUCAUUCGAUUUCGAAAUGGUUUUGAUUAAUGAUUGUAUAUAUCACAAGUUUAGUGGGAGUAAGCAUAGUCUCAAUCAAGACCCCAAGAAUAAUUUUGAAAUUAAGGAAAUGCAUAAGAUUCCCUAGGUUUCAACAGUGGGAAAUCUAAGGUAUGUUCAAGUUUGUACACUUUCAGAUAUUGUAUAUAUUGUUGGAUGUUGAGCAAAUAUUUGAAUAAUUCAGGUAUAGAUAAUUGAAAAGCAACCAAACGAUUCAUACAUUAUAUUCAGAAAAAAAGAUAUUACAUGCUCACAUUCCAAAGAUUUAAUAAGUUAGAAAUCAUCAAGUAUACAAACUUUGAUUUUAUGAUAUAUGGAUACAAAAUAUUUUUACAAAGGUGCAAAAUAAAAAUAUAUAUUAUAUGAAAGAGAAACACUUGUAUUGUAAAAAAGUGUCAAUUUCUUUAACUUUUUACAUAAUUCUUCAGAGUUUCUGUAUUUGAAUAAAUUCAUAAGCAAGCUUAUAGUUUAAAGUUAUUUAUGUACAAUAAUAUACUGUUAUUUAAUAUUUACAUUAUAAGAUAUAAUAUUUAUAUAAUAUUAUAUUAUAUCAUAUAUAUUAUAUAUUACAAGGUUCUGGAUAAUUAAGGAAAUAAAUAUAAUGUUUACAAUAUAAUUUUUUUAAGAUAUAUGUUAGGUCCAAAAAUAUCAAGAAAUGAGUAAAUUGGUAUUUUAAAAUUCUUUUCAAACUUUUCUAAAUGAUAAGGAAAUGAAAGAAAAACUUGGAUUUAGUGGUUCUGUUCCAAUUGCCUACUUCCACUAUCUUGGUAUACCUUAACGAAGAAUUUCCCAAUUCACUAUACUUGAAUACUUUUCUCUUGAUUUUGAUGCUUGAAUAUUUGUCUCUUGAGUCUUGAAGUGUAUUUAUACCAAGAAACAAAUUUUUCAAUGUUUGUUGCCAUUGGGGAUGAAAUCUAGCCGUUGGAAGUAUUAAUUUUGGGCUUAAAAAUUAUCCUUAUACGUCACGUCUCAAGACCUAGCAAGAUGUCUUGAGGCAAGGUUGAAAAAUAGUCGUCAUAUAACUGUUGGCAGGCCAUGUCUUGAGACAUUAAUAGUGUGUCUCAAGACAAUCUACCAAUUGUCUCUAGACAUAUUGCACAAUGCCUCAAGACAGGUAGCCCUUGAAGUAGGUUUUUGCUUCGAAGUUUUCAUGUCUUGAGAUGUAUAAUUGUAUGUCUCGAGACUUGCAUACCAAAGUCUCUUAAAAAUAUUUUAAACACCUUAGAAUACUUUGGUAUUAACCCAAAAACAUUUAGAUAAAUUAAAAACAUUUAAAAUAUGUUUUUGAGUAUUUUACAAGUCUUUAAAAAUAAUUUGAAAAUGUAUAAUACAAUUUUCAAUCAUAUUUUCACCAAAUAAUUUAGGACAAAUAAUAUAUAUAAUUUAUCUUAAAUGUUAUUAUAUCAAAAGCUUGGGACUUCAGAGCUAACAAUAUAGUAGUCUCCAUCUCAAGCACUUAUAUUAUCAAUCUCACAUUGACUAUAAAACACUUGCAUAUCUCGUACUUACACUAUAAGUUUCUUCACAAUUUACAUAAUUUAUUUAAAAUUUUUUCAUUUGAAGAAAUUUAUAAAUUAAGUUUAUAAUUUAAAUUUAUUCAUAUAUUAUUUAUAUAUUUUUAUUUAGUAUUCAUAUUAUAUUAUAAAAACAUUAGUUCAAGCCCACUUAACUGACUAAUGUAUGGUUUUCUUAGUCUCUCCGAAGACAUUCAUGUCGAUAGUCACGACAGAUAUUUCCAUGAUUUCACCUUGCUUUUAGCUUUUCGACCUCCUUGGUGCUCCUCUUCAGCUUUUUGACGUCCCUCUAAUGAUGGUGGCUAAUGUAAGUAGCUAGGGUUUGGUUAUUUCUGAUAUUGUUUGUAGGGUUUGUGUUUGCUGAGGUUGACUAAGUGUGAGUAUUCAAUCAAGUUGAGUUGAAUAGAGUUAAAAAAUUUCAAUUUAAUCUAGUUAAUGAAUCUUAUUUUAGUAACCGAACUCAAUUUGAAAUUUUUUCGAAUCGAAUUGAGUCAAGUCAAGUCGAGUUGAGUGAACGAAUCCUAUUAUUUACAUUUAAUGUUGCAUUUACAUGGACCGAUUAUUUAAUUAAUAGACGAAGUACAAGAUUAUUUAACUACAUAAAAAAUAUAAUAGUUUUACUUUUUAACUUAAUGGGUAAACAUUUAUCAAAAUGGCGUAAUUUUGCCUUUUAAUUGAAUGGUUUGAAGUUUUAACUUUAAGAAAGGUAAACAUUUAUCAAAACAACGUAGUUUUGCCUUUUCUUAUUCGAAUUUUCUAAAAACUGGAAUUAUGUAAUUCAUAUUCAAGUUAAACCAAAUAUUUUGAUUUUUUAUUUGAUUUGAUCCAAAUAACUCAAACAACUCGAACUAUUUAAUUUAAAAUUUAAAUUUUUUUCUCAAGUUUUUAAAUUGAAUCAAAUUUUACUCACCCAUAAGUUGAGCUAUAGUCCAUUUCAAGCCUUUCAACUUCUUACUUUGUUUUUUGGGGGCUUUUUGUAGGCCUUUUUUAUGUCUGUAUAUGUUCUUUUCUUUAAUGAAAUCUUCGUAUUGAGCAAGAAAAAGAGCAUGCCAAAUCCCAAGUAAAAAGAAAAACCAAACUUUGUGUAUAACUAUAAAUUUAUUUAGAAAGUAUACAUGUAUAAUAUAUAGAUGAUAACAAUAAAAUCACUCAAAACAAACAUAUAUAAAUAAUCUGGUCUACAAGUAAUCCAUGAAAUGAAUUUAAAUAUGCUAAUCAACACACUCUUAUAAGAAGAAUAUCUAAAAAUCAUAUGUUUAUUGUCGAGGGAAAACAAACAUAGUACCAUGAUUCAAUGUUUUGGCACGAUAGGCAAAUCAGGCAACUUAAGGCAGUUCUUGUUUAGGUGUUUCCGGCUUUGGUAGAUUGGGUAACUUAGGUAGUUCUGGUUUGGGUAGCUCUGGAACUUUGGGUUCUUCGGGUUUAGGCAUGCUAGGCAAUUCAGGAACUUUAGGUAAUUCAGGUUUUGGCAACUCAGGAGUUUUGGGCAAUUCUGGUUUCGGUACCUCUGGAACUUUAGGCAAUUCUGGUUUUGUUAACCCGGGAAUUUUAGGUAAUUGAGGUUUUGGUAAUUCAGGAGCUUUUGGCAAUUCUGGCUUAGGCACCUCAGGAACUUUUGGUAAUUCAGGUUUUGGCAACUCAGUCACUUUGGGCAAUUCUGGUUUUGGUACCUCAGGAAUUUUAGGCAAUUCUGGUUUUGUUAACUCAGGAAUUUUUGGCAAUUCAGGAGCUUUGGGCAAUUCUGGCUUAGGCACUUCAGGAACUUUAGGCAAUUCUGGCUUUGGUAACUCAGGAACUUUUGGUGAUUCAAGUUUUGGCAACUCGGGAGCUUUGGGUAAUUCAGGCUUGGGCACUUCAGGAGCUUUGGGCAAUUCCGACUUAGGUACCUCAGGAACUUUAGGCAAUUCUGGCUUUGGUAACUCAGGAACUUUUGGUAAUUCAGGAUUUGGCAACUCGGGAGCUUUGGGUAAUUCAGGCUUGGGCACUUCAGGAACUUUAGGAAAUUCUAGAUUUGGUAACUCCGGAACUUUUGGUGCUUCAGAUUUUGACAAUUUAGGAGCAUUGGGCAUCUCUGGAACUUUGACUUCUUCAGGUUUUUUCAACUCGGGAAUCUUAGGAAAUUCAGGCUUUGGCAACUCUGGCACUUUCGGAAACUCAGGAACCUUGGGUAAUUCCGGUUUUGGCAACUCUGGAACUUUCGAAAACUCGGGAACCUUAGGCAAUUCAGGCUUUGGCAACUCUGGAACUUUAGGCAAUUCAGGUUUUGGCAACUCAGGCAUUUUAGGUAUUUCAGGUUUUGGGAUUUCUGGC